RNAcentral lists this long non-coding RNA (88626 nucleotides) under Coffea arabica (coffee). Its description in RNAcentral is "long non-coding RNA (CARA_LNC000948)". The record is from RNAcentral. Lineage: Eukaryota; Viridiplantae; Streptophyta; Magnoliopsida; Gentianales; Rubiaceae.
UUUUUUUUUUUUUUUUUGGUCCAUCCUUCUUUAUACAUUUUCCAUUUUCAACUGUCGGUGCAUGAUUUGAACCUGAACCUAAUAGGAAAAAAGACUCUAAGAGUCCUCAAAUGAGUGAAUUUCAAAUUUACUAAAAAACCUAACAUGUCAUUUCAUGAAUGUUGAUGUGGUAUGUUUAUUGGUCAAAAAAAAGGUGUGAAAAGGUAAGGAAAAAGACGGGGCAAGCGAUUGUGGCCACAGAUGAUAGGAAAUGUGUCUUGGAUAGGCACGUGUUAAAGGCAUUUUAUAACCUGAAACUGUUCACAGAUGAUAGAAAAUGUGUCUUGGAUAGGCACGUGUAAAGGCAUUUUAUAACCUGAAACUUGAACAGCCGUUGGAUGUUGAAAUUAAGUGGAAGGACCAUAUGAAAAAUUGGGGGGAUUUAAAAGCAUAAAUGGGAAAGGUGAAGCUCAUAAAAUAAUCAACUGCCAAAGGCAGAGUGUCGCAAGCGAAACUAAGGGCAUUGAAAAACUAAGCGAAACUAACCUAACAUGUCAUUUCAAAUCUCUUUUACUUAUUUCUGUCUACAUUAACGAAUCCAUCCUUUUAUGCAUAUAGAUCGAAGAGUUAAAUGCUGAUUGUUGCUUGUCGCUUUCAAUUACUAACAACUACUCCUUAGUUAUCGCCGUUGGUCAAAGUUAAAGAAAAAAAAAAUGACCUUGAUUCAAAAAAACCUGUACGUAUAUUGACAGUUAAUUUGCCAAAAAAACAGUUGUGACCAAAGGCGGACACACGAACAGAGGAGAAAGGGAAAAUGGAAAUCUAAUUAUUAACCCUAAAGUUUGCAGGGGGUAUUCAAUCUUUACCCCUCAUGCUUACCUUAAAUAUAAAUUCCUUUCGUAAUGUAACAACCCUUAGCCAAACAAUGACUUUGGAUUAAAUAUGAAUUUUAAAACCACUCAUUUCAAAUCCAUUCAUCUUAAAUACUUGGACAGCGACCCUCGAUUUUUUGCACCAUUCAGGAAAACCAGACUUAUAAACUGGGUGCUUUGGCAUUUAAAAGUUUAUGAUUAUUUUAUCUACAAUCUCAAUUUUAGUUUCUUGGUGUAUUAUGUUAAUUAUAUUUAUGAUUGCUCAUCUACAAAUUUGAUACCGAUUUGAAAGUCACCACGUUACGUAUAAGAUUACUUAUAUAAUUUCUAAAUUUAAAUUGAAAUCUAUCACGUCAAUUAUGCAACGAUUCAUGUUUUUUGUAGCAUUAUAUUAAAUCCAUCAAAUCACUAAUUUAUUUAUCAAAUAAAAUCAGAGUAAAAUUUCUAAUGAAUAAGUGGGUUACUAUCUCUUUAUGGCUUUGUUCCAUAAAGUACUCCACAGAGAUUCUUUGACCAAAGUAAUUGUGAUUACUUUAGAGUGGGUUGAAUGGGUAAUACCAAUUAUGGGUUGAAUGGGUAAUGCCAUAAAUUACUAUCUAUUUAUGGUUUUCCUCCAUAAAGUACCCAUUUUCCCGUAAACUAAUUUUAUUUUAAAGAAUCGUAAACUACAAGGUAAUCGCAAUUACUUUGCAGAAGCAUUCUUUUUGACAAACUACAAGUAAUCACAACUACUUUAUUACGUUGUAGAAGCAUGCUUUGACUCCACGGAUAAACCCAAGUGUUUUGAAGUUACCAAAGAUUGUUGAUAAAACAAAUUGAAAUGUACCGAAGAACGAGGCCCUUUAGAGGACAGGGGAAGCUCGUCUAGAAAAAUUGGGAACUAUCAGAAAUUUUUUCCUUGCCAACUUGGCCUGGGGAGCUGCUUUCCAGUUGAUGCGAAUUUUUGGGUGCAAACAAGUGUUCAUGAGUAGAGCUGUUAAGCCAAUCGAGUAGUUCGAAAGCUCGUUAGAGCUCGGCUCGUUAAGGCUCGAGCUCGGCUCGUUAAUUUUGGUUAACGAGUCGAGCUCGAGCUCGAAACAUGCUCGUUUAGUUAACGAGCCGAGUAAGCUCGGCUCGUUUGAUACUCGAGUAGCUCGUUAGAACUCGUUAAUGAAGGGCAUAUUUGUCAUUUUAAAAAUUAAAAUUAUAUAAAUUAAAAAUUAUAGGUUUUUAUUAAUGUUAAUUUGCACGAGCUCGAGUUCGAGCUCGUGAAGCUCGACUCGUUUGUGAUAAACGAGUCGAGCUCGAGUCACAUGUACAUUUAACGAGUUGAGUUCGAACACAUUUUAAAACUCGUUUUCUUAACGAGCUCGAGUCAAGCUCGGCUCGAAUUAAACUCGAGUCGAGCUCGGCAGCCAAAUACUCGGCUCGACUCGGCUCGAUUAACAGCUCUAUUCAUGAGUUAUUGAGGGGUUUACGUUUUAUUUCUUCUAGAAAUACAAUGGGACCCAUAAACAACCGCUUCUAUCUUAUAUCUAGUAGCUCAUUUAAUAGCUACAUCGUGCCCGGCCCCAUCUUGGCCAAAUUUCCUUUUGCUCUUCCCACCAUGCACAGUUGAGUCAGCUUUCUACCGUAGAUGAAACCCUUAAAUAUUAUAAAACUUACAAGAUUAGGACAGUUUCAUAAUUCAAUUAAUUACUUAAAUUUAAAAAAAUCAAAUCUUAAUAUAUUCAAUUUAUUUGAUAAUUAAAAAUUAAAUAUCUGAAUUAAUUAAAUGACACUAAAUUUUCUAGAUAAAAUUUACUUUCAAAAUUAAGUGAUAAACUAUUCACUUAUAAUUGGAUGUGAUAUACAUUCAAAUAUAUUAUAUAAUUUAUAAUAUACUCAAUUUUCAUACUUCAAUUUUAUCAAACACAUUCUAGAUUUAUCUAAUUAUUCAAAAUUUUCAUACUUCAAUUUUAUCAUUUAAUAAAUUCAAACUUCAAUUUUUAUAUUUCAAUUUUAUCAAACACAUCGUAAAUUUAUCUAACUAUUCUUUUCUACUCCAGUUCAUUCAUUUUUUUUCACUAGGGAGCGGGCAAAGAAGAGAAAGGGUAAAAAAAAAAAAAAUACUUGUUGACCUGCUAAUUCGUAGAACCCACCCCAAUUAUUUUCGAAAAAUAAUAUAAUUCGCAUUUUUUGACCUUGGCAUAGGAGGGUCGACCACUCACUACUACAGGACCGAGCUAAGGUUAGAGGCUCGAGGACUCGUGAAUACUCGAUCUGUCCUGUAUAUUUCUUUAAUUUUAUACCUACACAUAGAGACAACUAAUUGUGAAAGUCUUUAAUUAUUUUACAAGAUUUAUUUGUAGAAGGCAUGACCUUUUUUUUUUCUUGGAUGAAGCUUAGUUGAUUUAAAAUUUAUUAAAAAGGGUAAUACACAUCACAUUUAGGUUUUGGUUGAAAUUCUUAUAUUAUCGAAUUCAUUACGCCUGAUGUUUAAACUUCAUAUUUGGCUCAUAAAUAUUUGACUAAGAAUAUUGAAAUUGAGGAACAAUUUUAACUCUUUAUCGAGUUGUAAUGGAGAUUGUAUAAUGAACUGUGAUUUAAUUUUAUUAGUUUUAGACGCUUCUUGUUUUCUUAAAAAAAUACAGGCACGAUUUUUUAAAAAAAAAAAACACUAAAAUCUGUGUUGAUUGUUAAAUGAAUACAAGAUGAAAUUGAUAAUUAUGUUUUUUAAAAAAAAAAAAUUAAAUGAUGGCCCCGGCCACCUAUAAGAAGCCAACCUGCCUCCAGAUAUUGUUGGGAAAGUUAACUGGCAAUUCUUAGUACUUACCACAUCGGUGAAAAAAAUAAUACUAAUAGUAGUAAAAAAGAAAUUUAGUGCAAAGAAAGAGAAGUCGGAAAUGGCGAUCGGAACCGAAGUGAGCGUGGGUGUCAUAGUCGCCGGCUCCUCCCUCGCCAAUUGCAGAACCACUUUAUCCUUGGUUCAGUUCCACCUUCCACUACUCCGACCACGCCUGCCGUCGGCUGGGCCCUUACACGUUUACCUCCCUCUAGCUCACGUUUCCAAUCUUAUCAAGUCUGGUUAUUGCAUUCAAACUUCUCAGGGGAAAAAUAACUAUACUCGUUCGUGUAAGCAACGCGCUUUUUUCGGAGACGGCGGCUUGGAGCUGCACGAUGCCGGGGCCACGGCUUUGGUUGUCGCCGGAGCUUACACUCUCGUCUCGACUUUUGAUAAACUCACCUCCGCAAAUCUCAUCCAACAGGUUUCUUUUCUUUUUUGUGGUCAAGGAAAAUAAUUGCGAGUAUAUAUUUUUUUUGUUUAUGUCUUCGUAGUUAUUCUGUACACAGUUUGUUUGUUGUUUGUACGCUGGGAAAAAAAAAUCAAAUUUUGGAUAACGACGAUAACAAACUUGUCAUUACAAAGUUUUAGUACGAGCAAAUUACCCGAAAAGCCAUUAAGCUUUUUAAAUAAUUGAGUUUUGAUCACUCAGUCUUUACGAAUAUGUAUUUAUCCAUUAACCUAUUAGAAGUGUGAAUAUUGAAUCACUCCGUAUAUUUGUAUUUUUACCGUUAAGUCCUAGAUCUGGUAGACGGUGAAGAUGUAAAAAGCCACGGAUUGGAAAGUGCUGGAUCUAAGACUUAACAGUGGUUUCCAUGUACUUUUAAUGGUUUAGUGAGUAAAUACGGACUCUGAAAAAUUGAGUAGUCAAAGCUCUAUUAUUGGAAAAGUUUAAUAACCACCGGGAUGAUUUGCUCUUUUAGUAUUGAUAUCAUCAUAUCAGGCUGUGUGUCCCGUGAACCCAAAAAGGCGCGACAGGAAGUGUAAUUGAGGCAGCGACUGGUUGACCCAGAAGAAUACAUAAAAAGCAGUGAAUGAUCUUUGGGUAAAGGUCACGAACGAUUGAAUGAGGAUGGCUCGAUUAGUCAUCCGAUGCACUUUAGGAGGCUAAAAUGAGUGCUGGAUAGCUUUUGCAAUUUCACCUGGCUAAGAAAAUGGUGGAACCUACUCCUCCAAGUUUUGAAUAAUAAUAAGUAGACACGAUAGAUGAUGAUCACAGUUUUGUUCUUUCAAAUGUUGCCUAUUUUCAUCAGAAAUUAUGUAAAACUAUUGUUGGUUUUAAUUGAAUUGCAGGAGUAUAGAAGUUGACUGCUCAGAGGUCGACUACCAUUGAUGACAGAUUUUCUUCUUCCUGUAAUUUCUUCUUAUUCCCGUGAGAAAACACGUGAAAGAAACAAUUUAGAUCCGAGAUAACCACAACGAGGGCCAUAAUUAUCGCUCUAUUCAGAAAUUAAAGACAAAAAAGUACAAGGAAGCAACGGAUCACGAACUCAAAAUCUUCGGGAACAUAAUGCUGUGUCAGAGUCACAACAAACUCAAAACACAUUGCUUAUUGUAUAUCUACAAGGACAAAUCAGUUUACAAAUGUGAGGCAAAAACCAUCUUAUGAGGCCUCGUCUUCAAAAUUUUCCCCUGAAGGCUAGUAGAGCAGCAAAUGUAGAACUGAAAUUGAUCAGAAGCGGGCACAUAGGGAAAACUGAAAGAACAGGGAGAAGAUCGUGGUUUCUUGAAGAAGGAAGGGAAAGAGAGAUGAUUUGAGGUUUGUUGAAGGAAGAGGUGUGGGGAUGACUUUUGUGGUGAAGGGAAAUUUUAUGUUUUAGGAAACUCAAUAGCUACUGAGGGAGUGUAUAUGAGCAUUAGUUUAUUUGAAUAAAAGGCAUUCCUGCAUUAUUGGCCACAAUCAUCGGAGUCAAGAACGUGUCUUAUUUCUUCCAUUAGACAUGGGGCAGUUUGGAUAAUGGUUUAUUUAAUCUCCAACUGUUUAUUGUAAUACUCGAAAUUACUUGCAGACUUCAUAUAAUGAAAUGAAAGAAUAUGAACUGCAUUUGUUUCACUUAGUUUGCCGGUUUUAUGUUGUUUCCAUCUUUCUGACAGAAUUUGAGCCGAAAACUGGUCCACAUACUGUCUGGAUUGCUCUUCAUGGCUUCCUGGCCAAUGUUCAGGUUCUGACAUUCCUCACAAUACUAAUUACAUUAUAUAAUGUUCUCCACAGUCAACUCCUGUUAUUGUUGAAUACUUCUGCUGAUUAUUUACAUCUUAGAUUAGCACAUCCACAGGAGCUCGAUACUUUGCUUCGCUGGUGCCCCUCAUAAACUGCUUAAGGCUUGUUGUCUAUGGCCUUUCAUUGGCUAAAGAUGAGGGACUCGUAAACUCUGUCACUCGAGAGGGGAAGCCUGAGUAAUCUUGCAGCCUUAUAUCCUUAUUCCUUCUGAGACACAUUACGAGUAAAUAAUCAGACUGGAUUUGCAUAUUUCUAUUUUCCAUGCAGGGAAUUGCUUCGAGGUCCCCUUUAUUAUGUUAUGAUACUAAUUUUAAGUGCAAUAUUUUUCUGGCGUGACUCUCCCGUCGGAGUGGUUUCAGUGUCAAUGAUGUGUGGUGGGGAUGGUAUGAGCCAAACCUAUAUCUAAUCUAGAUCCUCAGUACUUCUGGUGUCUUCCAUCUGACAAUGUGAUUUGUAGGCAUUGCUGAUAUCAUGGGAAGGAGAUUUGGAUCCUUAAAACUACCUUACAAUCAACAGAAGAGUUGGGCUGGUAGCCUCUCCAUGUUUGUACUUGGUUUCUUGAUUUCUAUUGGGUGAGUUGAAGCAUAUCUUUUGGUAAUGUGGAUUUGCAUUGCAAGCUAUCUUGCAUUUAUGGUUUUGACUGAUGACUUUCUAUUCCCUUGUCUUUGUAGGAUGCUGUACUACUUUUCAGCCCUUGGAUGCUUUCAGUUGGAUUGGAGCUGCACGAUACAAAGAGUUGCCUUGGUAUCCUUGGUAGCAACACUGGUGGAGUCCCUCCCAACUACAGGAAUAGUAGAUGAUAAUAUCUCUGUUCCUAUAGCAAGCAUGGUAACUGCGUUUUUGAGUUUUGGUUACUAGCUGGUCAGAGAGAAUACCGUGUUACAUGCGUGUCAUAAUUUUUCUGUUGGCACUUCAAAUACUUCCCUUUUCAAUAUUUCCUGUUUCGUUUUUUUACUUUCUGGUGCAUAUUUUUCUUAUGUUUUAACCUCCAAAUUUCCUUAGCUCAUUGUAUUUGGGAACAAUAAAGAAGAAAAGGAGUAAUGGUUGGUACCUCCUUAUUUGAAGGUUGCUAUGCUGAAAGCUAAGCAAGGUGCGUCCAAUAUCGCAACAAUCAUAACAUUGGAUUAACGGAAUCAAACAAAGCACUUGCUUCACUCUUCUAUUUGAUACUGGAUGCUAAGAUAGUAUCGCAGUAUGCACAAUCUAGUAAGCCGUUUGGAUUGCAAGUUUUCGGGGGGGUUUUUGUUUAAAAAAAAAAUACUGUAAUAAUGUGAUGUAAGUGAGGCAAAAAGGUGAUUGAAAAUUUUUGGCAAUCCAAACGAGGCAUUAUAUUAGGAUCUUGAGGGUACAUUGCUCCUGGGGUAAUUACGUGCUUCUAGCGUUCUUGCCGAGAAAAACUCUCGACUCCAGAUUUGUGCCUACUGGUGGGACUGGAGGCCAAAAACACGAAGAAAACAACAAAUGGAUGAAACAAGUUUAGACCGAUCAAAUUUCAUUGAGUAACUGGUCACCUGGGCAAGAAAUAAAACCAAUUGGAGUCAUUUUAAAAUCUGAUGGAUGGACUCCAAGCACACCUAUUUCAAUUUUGUUCAUGUGUUUUCAUGUAUGGAUGAACUCCAAUUAUCGUCCAUCUGUUUUCAUGCAAUAAAAUUGGCAAUUUAAUUGCAAACUUGUGACUUCUUUAGAAAUUUUUUUUUUCGCUAACAUUAGUACUUCAAGUAGCCCUUUAUUUUUUGGAGAACAAAUCCUUGAGUCAAGACUUAAGAGGACUGGUAGAAAUGAGAAGGCAGGCGGGGCCUAGCAAUCGCCACCAGGGGAUUGGCCUUGGGCAUGGUCAUGCCAUAAACCUCACUGGUAUCAAUGUCUUGAGGUCUCAAUCCAUCAGCUGGCCUCCAAUCGAAGCAAUGAAACAGCCGAGCCAAUGCCAUUAGCACCAGCGUCACCCCCAGCGGCGCGCCGGGGCACUUCCUUUUCCCAGCACUAAAGGGCAAUAUCUUGAAGUCGGAUCCGUGGCUUAUUUCCACUCGGCUCCCAUCUCCUGUUAAAUGCCUCUCCGGCCUGAAUUCUUCCACAUCGUCCCAUAUCUUGGUGUUCCGUCCUAGGCCGUGCGUGUUGAUGAAAACCCGUGUCUUGGCAGGGAUGUGGUAUCCAUUGAUCGUGGUGGCUCGAACUGACUCAUGCGGAAUGAGAAAUGGACCGGCCGGGUGCAUUCGAAAAGUUUCACGGACAACGCAUCGUAGGUAAUUUAGGUGGGCUAAAUCAGAUUCUGUGACCAUCCGAUCACGUCCGACUACGGUAUCAAGCUCUUCUUGGAUCUUCUCGAGGACGGUUGGAUGUUUGAUGACUUCUGCCAUUGCCCAUUCAUUGGUGACAGCAGAAGUAUCGGUAGCAGCAGCUAUCAUAUCCUAAGCAUUCAAAACCGUUUUGACUUAGAAAUCAUGUGCGUGUGUGUGUGUGUAUAUAUAUAAAGAUUGUCAUGGCGGUCAUAUAACUUGAAAGAAUUUGUAGCAGGGAAACAUUUGAUUAAUUUUCAGUGGAUUGCUGAUAAUAUUCAAUUACCAAACCAGAUUUGUAGAAAGAAUGCCUUUACUAUUUGUGCAACGUAAAAAGAGGGUGGCGAUAGUAGAUGUUUGUGAUGGAUGAUCAAAGGAUAUUAGUACUCAACCUGAAUCAGUGCUUUGAUGUCCUUAUCAUCUAGGUGUGCUUCUCCAUCUUCACCUGCCAAAGACAAUAGCACGUCAACAAAGUCAAUCUCUGCCUCAUCUUUUACUCCUCCAGUUUGCAAUUUCUUUCUAUGUUCUUGAAUGAUCUUUGAGUGAAAAUCAUCCACCCUCUUUUCCACUUCCCUCAUUUUCCUCUCACAACCAUAAGGGUCUAUCCACCUCCAAAACGGCAGAUAAUCUCCCAAAUAAAUCAAGCCCAAGAGCCAAAACAAUUCGUGCGUUAUGUGCAUGAACUCCAUUGCCUCUUGUGGUCCAGCUGAUUCUUCCCCAAAAUAUUGCUUUCCGAGCAGCAUUCUAGUCACGUUAUUCAUGGAAAAAGCACCCAGAACUUCCCUCAGAUUUAUUGGUUCUUCCUUGCGGGCCUUGCUCCAAACAUCUUCAACUAGAUGCUGAGCUUCAUCGGCCCGAUGCCUUGAAAAUGACUCGAGUCUUUUUGUUGUCAGUAGAUGUUCCAUGCAAAUCCUCCUCAUUCUCUUCCAUUUCGGGCCUAGCGGAGCCAAUGCCACGUCUCCACAGCCAUAGGCCAGGUGAACAGCUGCAAGAGUCCUCGGCCGAGAGGCGAAUACAUCGUCCUGAUGGACAAGGAUUUCGCGUAUAAUAUCGGGAUCGUUGGUGGUGAUGGCAUCAAUGCUCCCUAGUCGAAGGUACACUAGAGGUCCGUAUUUCUGACACAAAGAAGCCAAGUCCCUAUGUGGUAAUUGACUCAACUGAAGAAGGUUGCCGAUAAUCGGCCAACCGGGAGGGCCUGGUGGAAGCCUUCUAGAAUUGUUUGAUAUUCUGAACCAAGACUGAAAUACAUAUGCAAGAAAAUGUAGGCACAGAAUAAUGUAAAUUAAGGUGAUUAGAUCCAUCGGUGUUCUCAGGGAAGGUACCUCAAGGGGCAAUUUCCCAGAAGUUGAAUAAGUACGAGUGGUACAUGAUGUAAGGUUUAAUGAGACAAAAUGAAGUUAAAAGCGUUGUUGGUUUCUACAUGUUCUUUCUGCCUGAUGAGGCAUGUUGAUAUUAGGAAGAUGACACAGGCGGAUUAGUUAGACCAUCACAUUGGCAUGGCCUGAUCAUUUCUUGGUAUUUAAUUGAAUGACGAGGCAAAUUAACGAGUUAAAAAUCAAGUUUUCGUAAUGUUUACUCCUAAUUCGGAAGCAAUAACAUUUGCAUGGUUCCUUAACCGCUUAGAUAUAGGUAGUUUUCUUGCAGGAAUAAGAAGUUUGGACUGUCAUACAAGUUUCUUUUCCCACGUUCACAGCGUAUAGAUUAUAGACAUGAACUCUUCUGACAGAAUUACAUAUAGCGCACAUUUUGCUUAAAAGCAGCUGGGCUUUCGCUUCCUCUUCUAUCUCUGCUCACCUAAGUCGAUCAACUUUUGAGGGUUCCUCAGCCAGAUGCUGGGAAGAGAAGAAAUCCUAAAGGGCAGCAACUGGAUGGGACAGGCCAAAAAAGGAAGAAAAAACAUUUCAAAGAACGAUAUGUAAAGUUGGGCCGAUGGGAUGGGAGGUCAAGAAUUCAAGCACAAUCUCUUUGAUCAUGAUAAAUGGACCAUCUACAUGUUCUAUUUCGCCAGUCCAACUUAAGUAAUUUUCUUUGUUACUUUGAAGCCUUUUCCAAGCAUUGAAAAGUUUUGUGCUUAGUGAAAAUUUAAUUAAACAUUUGUAAAUCCAAAAAUAAAAUGGACAUUUUGGAUUUUGGACUAAUCCUUGUAACAUUUAGCCUGUUAACUGGUUAAGACCUCGUUUGAAAUUGCGGUGAUUUAUAAAGAAACACUUCUGACACAAGUAUUUUUAACAAAAGUACUUUUAAAUUACUAAACACUGAACAAUUGAAGUUACAAAAAAUUAGUUAUGAAACACUUUAAAAAUACUUUUAAUACUUAAAAGUGCUUUUUUUUUUCUUUUUUCUUUUUUAAAUGCACCGCAAACUCAAACAACAUGGCCUAAGACUUAAGACACCCAAGACCGACCAAGCCAAAAUUCAAUUAAUUACUACUAGAGAGUUACACAGUUCUGAAACUUUGUUGGAUCCCAAAGCAAUAAGAUGAAAAAAGUGGGGCCGUAAACGAAUGUUGACGAUCGUGUCUCCUGAUCAGCACGUGCGAUUGGCAUUUUCGAGAAUCUCAGAAAAGGGGUGACCCCUUUUUGGCCUUUUCUCCGCCACGUAUAAAAACCCCAAAAUAUCACUUACUUUGUCAAAAAAAAAAAAAAACCAUUACUGGUUGCUCAUCAAAACUAGCUCUCCUUCAUCAGAAACUAGAAUCUCCAUCUCACUUCACUGUACUGGAAUUCUGGAAAGUGAACUCUACUAGACAUGAACUGUCUCCAGAAUCUUCUAAGGUUCCACUUCAUUUCCACGCUUUCUUUCAGUUCAUAAUUAUUUCGUAAUUCCGGUCUGAUCAAUUCUCACUCGUUUGAGAUUUUUUUUUAUUUCGUUAAUUUUUGGGCAGAUUUUCUGCUUUGCCUUUGCAAAGCUUUAAUAGAGGUCAUACCGGAAAAUCUUCGUGCUCAGUUAGCAUCACUGUAAGAUUAGUCUGCCACUAACGAAGCAAGUAGGAAUAUAUAGAAAUUUAGAUUGAUAUAUGUACAGUUGCAUUCUCAGUUUGAAUUUAUUGCUUUCUUGUGUGCAGAUGGUGCCGACAGCUCCGCAGUUUCGGCAUAAUAUUGUGGGAAAGGUAAUUUUUGAAUGAGCAGAUUAAAGAAUUGUGCGGUUUGUUUGUUGGUGAUUAAGCUCAAGUAAUUGUAAACUUUUAAAUGUAGAUCAUGUAAUUUAGAUUCAUUCGUGUAUAAAUUAGAGUAUGGAUUUCGACGUGUAUUAUUGUAUCCUCUUCAGUCAUAGGAAGGACUGUAUGUUAAAUUGUAGAUUCUUCUUUGCAAACGUAAAAGAAACUUUUCUUGAGCUGAAAAUGUUCCUAUGAAUCUUGCCUUUAUAGUUAACAUCUGGUUUUUCACUUCUUUUUUCUGCCACUGGUGUGGAUGAACGGAAGUGGCACUGGGUAUUUGUUGUUUCAGCAAUUACAUCUAAGUUGUGUUCAGCGUACUUUUGCACCUUUUUUAAGUUCGCGAAAUUUGACAUGUUCAUCUGCUACUUAUAAUUCUUAGUUGUGGUUUCAGUUUUAAGUUUUCUUUGGUGCCUCUCCAUUCUAUAAUGUGACCUACCUUGAAUUUUUAUUUUUCUUAAUCUUUCCAGUAAAAAAAAAAAAGAAAUUUUUUGUGUCAUAUACUCAUUACUUGGAGUAACUUUGACACGGUUUUGUGGCCUCAUUAAAUACUGUGCUUGAUAAGCUCUAUACCCUGCCCUUAUUGUACUGAAAUUGGGGAUAAUGUGCUUUAAGUUUCAUUAUGUACCAAGUUAAACUACCAGAAGAUCGUCCCUCUCAAUGAGAUUUCAUUUAAAGGAUAUGUACUAAUUGAGCAAAAUACCACCUUCCAUGUUAAGUCCUACUAGGUGGUCAAUAAUGAAGAAUACCUUAAUGAGCAAUUUAUUAGCUGUGCAUGUGUGAAAUUACAGCUUCCUGGAUACUUUAAUGAACUACUUUUCUUCUUUUUCACUAUUUCUUGGCUUUAUGAUGGGUACUUUAAUGACAAUAGUCUGUUACUUAUUUUAAGGCUAUAUCUGGUUCUACAUCUAGUGCUGAGAUGGAUGGUGCUAAAGUGGACGAGGAAAAAUCUGAUGUAUAUACCCACAACAUGACCAAGGCCAUGGGCGCCGGUAAUCUCAGUUUUCAUGUGAUUUAUGUGAUCUGACUUUAGUAAACUGAAUGGAAAACAUUAUAUAGGAGGGUGCUUUGGAGGUGAUCUGUGUUUAAAGAUGAUAAUAGAAAAGAUUUAUUUGCAAUUUCCUUCUUACUGUGAGAAUUGUCAAAGGUUUACUGAAACUACACAAACUGGCACUUCAUUGUUGUUCUGUUAGCAGUUGCAUUCUUUAACAAUGAAAAGACAACUAUACUUUCUUUCCCAGUCUAUCUGUUGUAAACUUAAGCAAUGUGAGUGGCCACAGAUUUUGGUCUAUCCGAUUCACUUUGUCAGGCUUAUUUUGCCUUUCUUCCAUAUUAUUGUUUUCUCUGGGAUCAACAGUUUUGUCUUACUUUGUUAAAAUGUUUAUGUCAAUACAGUCUUGACUUACAGACAUGAACUAGGAAUGAACUACAAUUUCAUUCGUCCAGAUUUGAUUGUGGGGUCAUGCCUGCAGGUGAUAAGGACUUCUUUGCAGCUUUUAGUUAUCUCGUGUAUUAUUGUUUUAACUCUUGUUUCUGCUCAAUAAAAUUCAGUCUCCUGAAGAUGUUGACAAGCUUCGCAGCAUAGGGGUCAAAACGAUUUUUUGUUUGCAACAAGACCCUGAUCUUGAGUAUCCUCAAAAGUGGUUCAUAUAUCUAAUUUGUCCUGUAUCAAUGAAGAGCUUAGUUAUUUUCAUAACACAUGGGUUUAUAUGCUACAUAAAAUGUUAAAUCAAAUUCCAAACAUCUUCUCAGUGAGAUGUUCUGUUUGACGCCUUAAUCAGUACACUUAAGAUAUUUUGGGGUCGAUAUUAAAGCCAUUCGCGAGUAUGCUAGCUCAUGUGUUGACAUUGAACACUUGCGAGCUCAAAUAAGGUAGGUAAAGAAAAAAGGUUACAGAUUGUUCUCAAAAUGGUACUUUCUUGCUUGGAGGUUAUUCACUUUUCUCUAGGACUUUCUAAAUACUUGUUCAAGAAUUUUUUUUGCUCCAUGAUAAGGAACUUUCAGAUAUUUGUUGCAUUAUUUUCUUAGCAAGUAGAAGAAAGAUAUUGUUUAAUAUGCAAGCAAAGUAGCUUACUAAAGCUUAGGAAGCUCACAGUAUUAUUUCGCCCUUCUCUGGCUGGUUAUAAGAAAUCUUUCAUAAGGAAAAAACUUGCUUUUUUGCAUUUUGGUGAACUGGCUUACUUCUAUCAAUUAUAUCUAUCUAUCAUGUUCCAUUUUCUGUCAUAUCAAAUAGCAACUUAUUGGCCAGUAUGGAGAGUAUAUAUGUGUAGAGCAGAGAGAGUCUGGCCACACAUAAAAGUUUCUCUGGAGUGUGGUCUUCUGAUACACUCUUUUACUCUGUCAAGUAGAAACAACAAAAGAAAAACCAUUUCCAUCCUGUAAAUAUGUUCAGGAGUUUUCACUAUGUGUGGUCUAGGUUCAUGGGAGGUUUUGCAAGGCUGGGCUGGGAAAUUUGUCAAGUUCCUUUAAGAAUUUGAACAAAACUAGAUAAAGGGUGUGAAGUAUAUAGAAAGCACUAUCUCAUCCAAGAUGUCUCAAAGUGAGGAGUAGUGUUAGAAGUGUAUUCUAGGUAUCUAGGUGUUCAUACAUCUUAAGAGAAUAUAUAGUGUAUAAUAUGCCACUUUCAUGGUUUGUUACUGCAAAUAGAACAUUCCUACACUAGAUAUCAUGAUAUAAUGAAUAGCAGGGAUUUUGAUGGGUUUGAUUUACGGAUGCGGCUUCCAGCAGUGGUGAGCAAAUUACACAAGGCCAUUAAUUCUAAUGGCGGUGUAACUUAUAUACAUUGCACAGCUGGGAUGGGAAGAGCUCCUGCAGUCGCUGUAAGUCUGCUUAUUUAGAAAAUUACGCUAGUUUGUUGUGUCAAAAUGGCGUAAAAUUUUGGGUGCUAAAAUCCAUGUUUUUGUGUCUAAAUUUCAUAGUGACUUUUUCAGCCUGUCAUUUCUACCAUAUGCUAGAUGAUAGCGUAGAAGACUACAGCUAUAGAAAAUAUUGCAUAUAGUUCUAGCUUCAGGUAAGAAGUUAUUUGUCACAGGCUGGGUGGCUGCUGGCAUUGUUCUAACAAAUGUUUUUGCUCAUAUUUUGAACUUUUUGGUGUUAUUAUCAAUCACAAACUGGUUAGAUAGCCUGUAAUGUUUAUUGUUUCUCUUCCCUAACUCUAUAUACAUGCUUGUAAAUAUGUAUGUAUGUAUGUAUGUAUGUGAUGUGAUCUGGGAUUAACUACCCAAUUCCAUAUGCGUUUCUCUUGACAAUAUACAUUAACUAUUUGUGGCCUUGUUUUCCUGUUACCCAGUACUUCUAUACAAAGUGAAUGAUUUGGAUGUUUUGUUUUAUACUCACAAAAUCACCCAUAUAAAUUGCCCCACUUUGUUGAUGUGGAGUGAAAAGAAGAAGGAAAGACAAAUCCAAAACAAGGACUUGAAUCAAAGCCCCAUACAGAAAAUUAAAAUGUUUAAGCCCUUGUUAUUGGUGACACAAAACAACAAAUCUUAUUAGUCCUCUUAACUUUACCCACAUAUCUGGUAACAAACUUUAGGCCUUCCAAAUUCUGAGAAUGAAGCAUGGCUGCAAUUUCCUUGGUUUGGAAGCAACUUUUAGAUGGUUUUGUAAUCUUCUUUUCUAUGUGUUGAUUUCCAGAGUCUAGGCUGUGCCUUCACUUGCAUUAUAUUGAGUUCAUUUUUCUGGGGAUGCAGUACUAGGUUGCUAUCUCACACUAUUCUUUUGUUUCCACCUUAAUUCUGUGGAUCCAGCUGAACUUCCAUUGUAAGUGUUGCGUUUUCUGAUGACAUGACCACUGUUUUUCCUUUGGAUGGCAGCUAGCUUACAUGUUCUGGGUUCAAGGCUAUAAACUUGGCGAAGCCUAUCAAUUGCUCAUGGUAUAUCUUAUUGUUCUAUGAUUAAGGAAAUUCUAAUGAAUAAUGGACCAAUUCUUGUAUGAUAUCAUGAUGACUUCAAAAUAUGGCGAUAUCUUGUAACAGAUUUGUCCAAAUGUUCAUGCCAUGAUGGUAUUUGAACUUCCUAAUGGAUAGGAUAAUUGUGCUAAUUAAGAAUCAUUUCUCAUGUAUAAUGUUGAAUAAUUUGACUUGUAUUUGUGUUUAUGAAAUAGCGUAAUUGGGAUGUAAAAUGGACUAUAGUUUGGGCUCAUCUUAGUGCUGAAAUAGCCCUGUUUCUCUGUAUUGGCAGAAUAAACGCUCUUGCUUCCCAAAGUUGGAUGCUAUCAAAAGUGCAACUGCUGACCUCGUGAGUUGGAUUUUUCCUUCUACACUUGUCAUUCUCAUGUAUGGGUGCAAUGUGGAAUGAUCAUUUCUACAGUUCUAUAAUUUGUCACAAAAUGGUUAUCACAUUUGUCCAUUUUUUGAAAACUUCAAUUUGCCAGAGUAAUAGCAAUGCUAGUCUUCUUCCAUCUUUAGAAAGGACUGAGUGUCUAGUUAAAACAUCCUGGAAGGAAGAAUAAGUCUAGCAGCUAACCAAUGUCCAUUGAGGAGGUUUACUACUUUAAUUAGUCACUUCAGUAUGCCAUAUAGUAGUGGAGUUCAUUGAAUCUUAUGUCUUUUCACAACAAGAAAAGCAUUAGGCAAGUUGCUGUAACAUGUUGGUGUUCUAACUUCGUGAUAUACUGCUGCUUAUUGGGAGAAAUCGGGGCAAGUCAGGAGUUGUGACAGAAGACUGUUGAAGUCAAAACAGAGAAAUUUUAUCACUUUGCCAGAACAAUAUCUGAAACAUGGGAUGAAUAUACUUUUAAGAGUUGCUUAUUGAAUCUUACAUCCAUCCUAGUAGAUAGAUCGCAAAAUUUCUAGUCACUUCUUAUUUUCUUGACGCAUUAUAUUCCUGUUUAAAGCUUACAGGCUUCAAAAAGAAGCUUGUCACACUGAGGUGGUAUAGUAGCAAUUGUUCCACAGUGGAAAUCUCUGGACUUGAUAUUGGAUGGGGUCAGGUAAUGAUUAAAUCUUCAUAUUGUUAUCAUUGUCUCCUGGAAAUGUUGUUGCACCAGAACUCUCUCCUUUUACAUGGACUUAAGUGAAGGAUGUUUAAGAUGAAUAUAUGUCUAGACUUGGAUUCCGAGCAUUGUCAGACUUCUGAAAUACAAGAUAUUGAAUUUUUGUUUUGCCUGAAACUUGUGGUAACUGUGCUGUUUCAGUAUUAAUAUUUUGUGAAUAUCUCUCUCUCUCAAAAAAGGCAAAAAAAAAAAAAAAAAUUUUUUUAGUUAUAUCAUGUUGCAAGCUGUUCCAUUUCUUUGUAUUGAUCUUUUAACCGGAAAUGCAACUUUGAGCUUGGAUGAUCUUGUCCCUUGACCUGAACCAGAGACUCAGAGUGCUAAAAUCCUGAGUACUUAGAACUUUUAUCACGUGCUUCUUGGCAUUCGGGAAUCCUAGUUCACAUACACAACUUAAUGUAUGAAGCUUCAAUUCACUGCAGAGAAUGCCAUUGAAUUUUGACGAGGAACAAGGUUCAUGGAUACUGCAGAGGGAAUUACCAGUAAGUGGAUAGCAUUUAUCUAUCUCGAGUUCUAUAUUGAUUUGCCAUACUUGGGAAUGUGGUUUUUAGCUGUGAAAGGAAUGUAAAAGCACAUCUAAACUGUAAAGGGAUCAGGUCUCUAAUUCUGUCCUCUUGCAGGAAGGACGUUAUGAGUACAAAUACAUUGUUGAUGGUGAAUGGAUGUGCAAUAAGUACGAACUUGUUACUUCUCCCAACAAAGAUGGCCACGUGAACAAUUAUAUCAGAGUAUGGCCUACAACUAUCUCUGAACAAUUUGUUCAUAAAUAGGCACGCAUUGAGUGUUUGUGAUUUUAUGCACUCAACAGUCAGCAAUCGGCAUAGAUAAUAAAGAUUUUGUAACGAUUUGACUUGUGUGGGGAGUCCAGAUUGUUUGAGUAAUCGUAGUAUAAAUGUUAUGAGAACUUAGUUGGGGCUUCCUGCGCUCCCUAUGCCAUUGGAAGAAAUGGAGUUUGUGACCUCAUAAAGGUAGAUAGGAAAAGUAAUUGAGAACCUUAAGAAUUGAAUAGAGUUUGAUAUAAGCAUUAAGAAUCAGAUCAAACUCAUAAUUUGCCGACUCAAUCUGAGCCUCGGCGGGGAUUCACUGAAGGUGCUCUCUCCCUUUUUAUCCAGCAGGCUCGUUUCGACGUGAAUAUUAGGGGUACUGACCGCAUUUUGACUGCCCAGCUUUUGUGCAAUGAUUAUUUUUGUAACUAUUUUAGUGUUUAGUGGAUGAUGAUACGCUUAUGACCAAGACUCCAGCAGAAUGAGUGUUUCAAUUUUUGAAGGGACUGAAAAUUCUUCGAUCCUGGAAUUCUUUCAUGGUCUAGUUAAUCUUCUGUAGCCUCUCAUUUACGACUCUUCUUUCUGCUCUUCAUUUGUGCAGGUUGCAGACAGUAACCCCAAUAGCAUUAGUUCGAGAAUAAGAAAAAGGUUAAGCGGUGAAGACCCCAACCUCACGAAGAACGAAAGAACCAUAAUUAGACAAUUUCUUGAGGCCUGCCCCGAUGAGGAGUGACUUGUACCUGCCAACACAUUUCCUACUUAUGUAAGUGUACCGUAUUCAUUAUUGCAUAAAACAUGGCAAUUAUGUAACGAGCCUCAGUCUUCUAUAGGGACAAAUAGGGGGUCGAGUGGGGGAUAGGAUGUCGGUGAAGAAGGGUAGGGGAAUUUACUUAAACAGGCACUUUGCCUUGUUGUCGGUGACGUUGAUGGAGCUAAAAGUGGAAAUAUCCACUCACCGACAAGACUGGGCCAAUCGAAUGUAAUCCAUUUCUUAAAGUUCCGUGGGUCUUUGUGCCAAUCGAAUGUAAUCUAUGUCCUAAAGCUCCACCGUCUCCGCGUAGUUUCAAGUUCUUCCAACUUCCACUCAGCUUCCCAUUUUGUUCCUAAAGUCAAACGGAUUAGAGGAUUGACUGCUCUGUAUUUUCACAGUGAAUUGUAUCGUAAUCGUAACGGUCAGAUAUUUUCCAAGUACAUAUCUUGGCUGAAGGUCCUGGUUAUGGAACUGUUCUCGAGUCUUGUAUUUGUUGCAUUAGCUGUUUUAUAGUUUGUCCACAAUAGCAAAAGGUCAUGUUGAUGAAAUGCUCUUCGGAAUAAUAGAAUGGUGAUUUUUAAGAUUUUCAAACGCAAUGUAAAUACGUGUUUCUUGAGAUAAUUGCAGUUGAAAUAUGCAAAGUUCUAUAGAAUGAUGAAAGAAAAAUAUGCUCGUGCUCAUCUCAAUAAUGUUGUCAUCAGCUUAUUCACCAAAAGGGAAUCUGUGUAUACUGCUGUCACAGUCUGGACAGACUAGGCAAUUUUUGGAGUUCUAUCGUUCAUAUUAUGACCAAAUUAGCUGUUGGAUUUCUACAUGGGACUUUGUGAGAAGUAUUGUUCAAUUUUUUAAGAAACCAAAUCAAUAUAUGAAUGAUUGACAAGAAAUGAAGUUUUUGUUUCAUCGCAGCCUACAUGGUGAUCAUCAUAGUGGCGAGUCCAUUAAUAGAACAUUAUUAUUAGUGCUUCUUUAAAAUCUAUAAUAAUUUCUUGUUCUUUUGUAUUAAGUACUGAAUAUUGAAGUCGAUAACGUGUAAAACACUCGGCUGUGCCUAUACACGUUUUGGAUAUCAUACAUGCACAUGUAGAAUCAAUAGCGUUUUAAUUCUUCGUCACCAUUAAUAUCAUAAUAUGUGAGCCCCAUGCGUCUCGCUCUCUUUUCCUUGCAGCAUAAAUUGUCAUGUCUUUUUUUUUUUUGGGUGUGUCAAUAAUUUCAUAUGCAUUUAUGGCACAAUUAUUAUGCUGAGGGGAAUAAAAGGAUCGUUUGCAUUUAAUUUGAUGUUGAGGGAUUGUUAUCCACUGCACUGUCUUCAUCAUUUUGCAAACUAAAGGAGUAAUGACCAUAGUUUUAAGCUAUUUUGCUACCAGGUUGUUGCCGGUCACUCUCCAUACCUUAAGAAAUGUAAUUGAUUUUUCAUUUUUUGGACCAAAUAUAGCCUGACCGGCCCUCGUGCUCCUUGGAUGGGACAGACAUCCCUUUCCUUCCCUAUUUUUAUCAAUUUGACAAAAGAAAUAGUACCGAAACGCAAUUUGUAGCUUGAAUAAUUUCAAUGACUCAAAUGGCCCCCCAACGCUGAAAGAAACGAGGCCAUACCGCUUCGCAUCUCAAUAAUCAUUAUUGUAACUCAGUAACGAACACUCCUAUUCUCGUAUGCUGAUCAAAUCAACUGAUUAAGCGCACCCAUUCAAUCACAAUUAAGGCGAUUUUGCCCUUAAAAAACUAAAAUUACGUGAAUCCAAGAAAAGAAAAUAUCAUUUUGUUAUAUUGUUUACGAGAAUUAUACGAUUUAGAGUUUGAAAAUAUCAUGGAAUUGAUCAUUGGAAACAAAACAUUAAGCUAAGUUAAUCUGAAAAAUUGAUCAUUGGUGGACAUAGCUAGACAUGAAAAGAAAACCCCGGACCAAAAGAAAAAAAAAAAAGGAAGGAAAACUACUAGUUAUAUUGUAGGGAUAAUUUUAGAAACCUUCCCUGAGAUUUUUGACAUUUUCACUACUAUCCUCUAAGGUUUUAAAAAUACCACUAACCUCCUUUAAACUAAUUAUCUUAUAUCAAAUUAGCCCAAUUCAAAAAAAAAAAAACAACAAUAAAAAAAAGUUUUCAAGAGUAAGAUUGCAUAUCAAAAGUACCCCUCAACAUAUAACUAGUUGGUUGACUUAUAAUCAAAAGCGAAUAUUAGUUAAAAUAGAAGAUAAAGACUAAAAGUACACUCUGCUUACUUUUUUUUUUUUUUAGAAAAUUUUCUUACACAUAUUUUAAUUAUCUUUUUACUUCGUAUAUAUUACAUCAAUAUAGCAUAUUUUUCUACAAAAAGUCCAAAAAUUUGCAAUCCAAAUAAGACCUAAAGUUAGAGAGUUUCAAUAUAAGUGAAGUAAAUUAUAGCACUAGCAUGAGUAUAGUAAAAUUCGGUAUGGCUACUUUCCAUAGAAUUGCAUAAAAUAGCAAAAUUAAAGAUUUAGAGUGGAAAUUUUGUUAAUUUGGAAUCCAUAUUUACACGUAGAAUUCUAUAUUUUUAGUAUUGGAAUUUGGAACUCUUAGUAUUAGAAUUUAGAAGAUUUAGAACAAGAUUUGGACAAGAAAAACAUGGCCUCUUCAAUAAAAGAAAUAUAAAAACUAUGCUAAAAUGUCAUGUUUUAUGAAUCAUUUCUUUCACUUGUGAGGUCCAUUAUUUCAAAUGAUUAUUAAGAAUUUUCUAUCAUUUGUAAUAAAAAAAAUCUCAGGCAAUGUUUGGGUCAAUAGAGAGGAAAUGAUUUUAAUAGAAAAAUAAGUAAAUUAAAGUAGAGAAAAUCAUUUCUAAUUAUCUUGUUUGGAUUACAUAUACAAAGAGAAUAAAAAAUUAUCAAAUGUUUUGAAAAAGAAAGGCAAGAAUAGAUUACGUGUAGUUAUAUUUUAUUCAUAACUUAAUGAAAUUUAAUUGUAAACAUAAUUUAACAUUUUACCCUCUUUUUUUGUGUGUUUUUGCAUUCAUCUUGUUAUUUUUAUGAAAAUUUUAUGAAAUAAUAAUAUCUCAACAGGAAUUUUAAUAUUUUUGGGAGGAAGAUAUUACAAAAACUACUAAAAUAUAGAAACAAAAUUUAAAAUGUUAACAAUUAUCAUUAUAAAUUUUAGUAUUCAAGAUUUUCAAAUUUAUUACAUUCCAAAUAAUAACAUUUAGUACAAGAGACUUAUAAAAUUUCCAAAUUAUUUCUCUUCAUAUAACUAUAUAAAAUUCCUAUGUCUUAAGGGUAAUAAAGUCUGACUAUCAAUGAGGUAAUUAUUGAGUCUCAAAUAAUUGACAGGAAAGGCAAGUGAUAUUUCUAAAACUUUGAGAGCGAACAAUGAAAUUGUCAAAAAACCUUAGGGAAAGUUUCUGAAAUUAUCUAUAUCCCACAAGUCAUUUUUCUUAUUUUUUUUCUUUCUUGCCAGUUGCUGCACAGCUUUAAAUAGUCAUUUCUUCUCGACGUUGACGUAUAUUGCGUUUACAACUGGAAUUAAUUUGGGCCCAAAAAAUGUAUUUUAUCCGCUUCCCUUUCCAUCCCGUCGACUUCAUUGAUUUUUCUCACCAAAUUAAAUAAACAAAAACCAGAAUCUAAAUGCCAAAAAAAAAAAAUAAAAAAUUCAGAAACAGACUUCCAAACUGGUUCUACUCUAAAAAUCGCAACAGAAGAAAGAACGCGCCGUCACACACCACCCCCGCAGCAACACGCAAUACAAAUUGAAUUCGACUGACAAAUGCAGUGUGAGUAACCAGACAAACAUAAAGGAAGCUCCGAAUUUCUCCUUCCUUAAUCGCACCGAGUCAACUCGAAUAGCUUCACUCAACUCACCACCCAACAUAUGGAACACCUCUCCGAAGACGACAAUGCCGUCACCGGCGUGGGAAAUGGAAGCGGCGGCUUCCGUUCGAUCCGAGACCGUUUCCGCUUCAAACGAAACCCUAACUCUGCUGCCUCUUACCUUCCGUCCACGUCAACCGCGACGACGUCGCCUCUGGAUCGGCAAUACAAGCAAGGCCGAUCUCAUUCUCACCAUCACCACCACCACCACCACCAUUACAAUAGAUCAGCGGCUAGAAAGAUGUUAUUGUUUCCGUUUAGGGAGAGAUCGUGGUUUUAUUUAUGCAUUUUUUUAGUGAUAUUUGUGUUUGCUUUGGCGUCGAUGGUGCUUCAGAGCUCAAUCAUGCCCGUGUUUAGGCAAGGUGGAGGAGGGAGUGAGAGAGGCAAACGGCCGUGGCCUGUUAGAGAUGACUUGAAGUUGGGCAGCUCUUUGCAUUUUGAGCCGCAAAGGAGAUUUCAGCUUCACGACGGGCUUGAUCGGCUGCGGAGUCAGCCGAGAAUUGGGGUUCGACCUCCACGAAUUGGUCUUGUGAGUGAGUUUUUUUGUAUACAUGUUUUUAGUUGUAGGAAUAUUUUGGAUAAUUCUUCUGGAGCUAUUGUAUUUUAAUAGAUGCUCAUUCUGGGAAUGACUAGCUUUCUUAAGAUUGAUUCCGAAGUGUUUUACUUUUUGCGUUGGUUCGAAACUCUUUUUAAGUGAAGCUAUGAACUUUAAGCUGGCUUUGAUAUGCUUAUUGCCAUUAAUAUCAGAAACUUUCAAAAAACCAUUUUCUGCAGAGUUCUAGUUUUCUUGGUGAUAUCAAUGUCUGUUGCUUGAGAUGGACGUCACUGAAUGGGCAACGUGAAAUGGGAAUUGUGCAUGUCCCACUGUACAUCUUUGAAUUGCAAACCAAAGCUUCAGUUGAAAGUCAUUUUAUUAGCCAAGUCUUUGAUAAAAAUUUGUCUUAACAAGUAGUUGAGUCAUACAACUUCAAGUACUGAUACUUUUGGUGGAUAUGAUUGCAGCUUGAGUAUAUGUGUGUUUCUUUUAUAGGAAUGCUGACUGGAAAUUCAAGAAACUUUUGGCCACCUGGCUGAACUGUGUUCACAUAUUUCAGAAAGAAGUCUUGUGCCAAAAGAAACAGGAAAACUGAAAAUUAUUUUGUUAUGACUUAUAACACAUCACUGAGAGUAGAUGGUAAGGAUGCAAACAUGACUAAAACUGUUGAUCUUGUAAGUUCAUGACAGACUUGAGGUGGAACAUAGGAUGAAUUUGGGCAUCAUCUAAUUCAUCUGUUUAUACUAUUUGUUAUGUAUUAAGGUCCAUGUAUCCAUGCUUUUCAUUUAUCAUGAUUUCUUGAAUUUCACAGACUUGAGCUUUGCAUUUUAUAUUUUUCAGAUCUUAGGAAACAUGAACAAGGAUCCUUCAUCAUUGAUGCUAUCUACGGUGAUGAAGAAUUUGAAGGGACUUGGCUAUUUGUUCAAGGUAAUUUUAUAGGAAUUAUAUCUUAAAUCCUUGGUUAGAAGAUGGAUGAAAGUUGGUUAGGUUCGGGCGGACAUGUAAAUGCAUUAUGAAUUUUGGCUUUUUCCUUCCUGAGUAGUUUUAAGUUUAUCACCUUUGACUUUUAGAUGCCAUCAAGGAAAUAGAGCAAGAGUCCUGUUGUUUCCUCAUUAAGUAGAAAAUUAAGAGUUUUUACGAAGCUUUUACAUGGGUUCUACUGGCCAAGUUCUCCCUGCAUUCACAUAUAAUCACUUGUGGGUCAUAGCAACAGUUUAAUUUUCCAAGUGAGUUCCAUCUUAGCAAUUGUGUAAAACUAGCUUCUUAACCAGUUUGUUUAUUGUUUAGGUUUCCUGAAAUAUGUAUUGUCUUAGUUUUUUUAAAAAUAAUUGCUAUAUAAUUUCUCUCCCCUAUCAAGUUCCUGAAAAUAAGAAUCAAAUUUUCUUUGCCUUACUAACAAAUGACGCAAUCAACUAAAGGAAAUUUCAGAGGGCUUCAGUGUCUCUGGCGCAAAUCUCAAGAGAAUUAUGUGAUCAAAGCAAUGAAUUUUACUAUUUGCAUCCUUUGAUAGAACACUUGUUAUAAGUCCUUUGAGGGAUAUUAGUUAGUCAAAGACUAUACAACUGGUCAGUUUGAGGGUUUAGGUGUGGUUUAUAUGGUUUUGGUAUUUAUGACCUGUCCUUCGUCUGUUUUCUGUUAUCCCCUCAAUCCAGUUAGUGAUCAGACUGACUUUUUCUCCACCUAUAAUCUGCUCAAUCCUGGAGAAUCUUUGUCAAUUUGAAUUUGUCUGAUUAAUCAAUAUGUUUUAGUGCAAAUUGUCAUGUGAUUGUGAUAUAAUCUUUUUGGGCCCAAUGCAUGCUUCUUUGCAGAUAUAUGCACUACAAGAUGGUGAUGCUCGAGAAGUUUGGGAGGAAAUAGGAGGUGAAAUCUUGAAUUUAAGUCCUGAAAGACAUGCUCAUAUUGAUUGGUCAAUGUACGUUUUAUUCUUUCAUCUAGUUUACUCAUGAAUCCAAUAGUAAUUCUCUUAAGAUAGUAAGAACUUCUCCAUGAAAUAGUUAGUCAAUUAGUCCUUAAAUUGGUACUAAUAAAUAAAAUUCCUCAUUGCUGCAGUUUUGAAGGUAUAAUAGCAGAGUCUCUUGAAGUGAAGGAUGCCAUUUCAAGGUAUAGACAUUCUUGACAUAUGAAAUUAAUGAACUAAUUUUACUUCUCAUCACUUUCUCAAAAUUUACCAUAUGUUCUCAUUAGAAAAAUUGAUGCAUAAUUGGUUCUUAGUGCUAACCUUGUGCCCGAGUUAUCAAAUGAAAAGAGGAAUCUGUCCCUAAACUUUAGCUUCCAAAAUUGAAUUAAUUAUAAAGAGAUGGUUUCCCUGUAAUUUGAAACAAGUUCCUGUUAUUUGUCUAAUUAUUUAUUUAGUUUGCUCGAUUGGGGAGGGGGGAUAGACCUUAACUAUAGUAAGUGCUACCUUGCUGCCUAGACAUUUUAGCUAGGUUCUAACUUUGCUUUAUAACAAACAAGGUGCUAAAUGAUACAAAUAAAAGGAAAAGGUUUGCAUAAUUAAUUUUUCAGAUACAUAAAUAGCCAUAAGAAGAUGGUAGGGCUACUGCUGUUUGAUUCAUUUUUCUAAUUUUAGUAUUCUCUUAAUCACCGGAUUCUUUUGUACCACUGGAGCCUUCUUCUAUUCACUGCACAGUUGAUUGGAGAAAAAUCAUAGUUGUGUAAUAUUUUGCUUUGUGUUAACGUCCUGUCGAUCUCUUUGGUACUUGUAAACCAUUUUUAUUAUUUUGCAUUAUCAUUUAUCUUUCCACUUUGGAUACUAACCAAAGAAGUGAUUUGUGGAGUGGACUGAAAUUGUGAAGCUUAUUGACCAUUUCUGCAUUUGUCUAUUCCUCGUGGAGAUGUAGUUGGGCAAAAUGUCUCACUUUGUAAUUGUAAGUUUACUAACCCUGAGUAUAAUCCACUAGUCCUUAAGUAAAACUCAGAUUUAGUCCCUUAGGUCUUAAUGAUUUUUUUGACAUUGUCUACAGUCGACAAGUUUUUCAGAAAACAUCAUUAACUUUGUCUAGCUGAUCGUAAAAUGGUAUUCCACUAGGUAUCAAAAUGAAAGCGCUAUAAAAAGGAUAAUGACGAAUUUCAGUUUGUUGAGUGAAAGUAGGAAAUUCUGGUAUGUUAGUGAGAUCAGUAUUCUUUGCUCCUGUGGUGCUUGAAUGUGCAUUCAGAUGAAAAAUGCAAGCAUGGCUUUGGAGGGAUGUUUACCGGUUUAUUCAACAAUAAGCCUUUUGUUUGAGAUGCUGUUUGUGAGUUUUAUAUUUUUGCAGCCUUAUGCAGGAGCCUUUCUGCUCUAUUCCACUCGUUUGGAUAAUUCAAGAGGAUACCCUUGCAAAUCGCCUUCAGAUGUAUGAAAGGAAUCAAUGGAACCAUAUCAUAUCUCACUGGAAGAGUGCUUUUUGCAGGGCUAAUGUUGUUGUCUUUCCUGAUUAUUCUUUGCCGGUAACUUCAUCCUUCUGUUGUUAUUACAUGCAUUACAAAGUCAAUCCAUAGGAAUUAUUUUAGGUUUUCUUAUGCUUACUUAUCAAAUUCUAUAUGAUGUGCUUCUCCUGCUCAAUUAAGAUUAUCUUCCUGUAUCAGAUGUUAUAUAGUGUGCUUGACACUGGAAACUUCUUUGUGAUUCCUGGAUCACCAGUAGAUGUUUGGGCUGCAGAAAGCUACACUAAGACACACUCCAAAUUGGUAUUACGGAAGAAAAAUGGUUUUGAUGAAGAUGAUGUGGUGGUUUUGGUUAUUGGAAGCUCAUUUUUCUUUGCUGAGCUGUCAUGGGAUUAUGCUGUGGCAAUGCAUGAUUUGGAGCCACUCUUACUCAAUUAUGCUGGGAGAGAAGAAGGCAAGGAGACCUUCAAGUUUGUCUUCUUAUGUGGAAACUCCAGCAGUCAGUAUGAUGAUGCUUUGCAGGUAUAAUCAAUUAUCCAAGGUAUAUAGUUCUUUAGGUAUAUCUGUCUGCAUGCAAAUCCAGGCUUUGGGAAAACGUAAUGCAUGUUGUUACAUGGCAAACUCUGUUUGCCGAAGGAUUAUCCUUGAUAUCUUCUAUUGAUAUAUUAUUCAUGGCUCUGGAUAAUAGCGUCUUUAUGAAUUUUUCUUGAUCUGAAAAGUGUUCCACUACAGGAUUAAUUUUUCCCUAUUUGUGUGGAAAUCCCUUUUCCUUGUUUUAUUGAUUUGAUUCUAUUUAAGUGAAAAGUUCUUACAAGGUUUGUCUUGCUUUCCUAACCAGACAAUCCUAAGAUUUAUCAGAACUUCUUAUUUAGCAUUACUACCCCCUCCCCAGGCCAAAACAAGGGAAAAAAGAAGUGGUAGUUAAAGAGCUGUGAGAUCUGAGUUACACCUAUUUGUUUGUAUUUUUUAGGACAUUGCCACUCGUUUGGGACUUUAUGAAGGAUCUCUAAGACAUUUUGGCGUUCAUGGUGAUCCUAAUGGGUUGAUAUUGAUGGCUGACAUUGUACUGUAUGCUUCUCCACAAGAUGAGCAGGGGUUUCCACCAUUACUGACACGAGCAAUGUCCUUUGGAUUGCCUAUUGUUGCAUUAGAAAAUCCUGUCAUAAAGAGACAUGUGGGUUUUACACAUUUAUCUUGUAUAGACAAUUGAGUUCUGUUGUGGAUAUUAUGAUUGUUGCUCUUUACUUCUCUUAUUAAGCUUCUAAAUCUCCAGGUUGGUGAUCAGGUCCAAGGGAUGAUCGUUGCCAAACAUAACCCUGAUGCACUAAUCAAAGCUUUCUCACUUCUGAUAUCGGAAGCAAAAUUACUGAAGCUUGCCCAUUCUAUUGCUUCCUCUGGCAGGCUUCUAGCAAAGAAUAUGCUAGCAUCAGAAUGUGUAAUGAGUUAUGCAAAGUUGCUUGAGAAUAUCCUCAAUUUUCCAUCAGAUGUCUUGCUUCCUGUUAACACUUCUCAGCUUAAGCAGACUUCAUGGGAGUGGAGCUUCUUCCAGGAAGAAAUUGAUAAAAAAGCUGGUGACCUUGCAAAUCCACAUAGCAGAGGUUAUGGAUUAAGUUUGGGUGUUGUAUACAAUAUUGAAGAAGACAUGGCCAAUCUAUUGCCCUUAAAGAAUGUCUCUGGCAAUGAUUUAGAAGCUCUGGACGGGGAUUUUCCUACACAUUUAGAUUGGGAUAUUUUGAGGGAAAUGGAAAGUUCUGAGGAACUGGAGUCUUUGGAAAUGGAGGAGGUAUGACCGUGCUUCUGUUAUGCAUUGCAAAUUUCUUUUUGCCCUGUUUUGUUUUUUCCCAGGUUGUUGGAAUUACUGUUGGGUAGAACAUUAUUGUAAUACUCGCAGAUUGAAGAAAGAAUGGAGAAAGCGAUUGGUGAUUGGGAUGAAUUAUAUCGUAAUGCUCGAAAAUCUGAAAAGCUUAAGUUUGAAAUGAAUGAAAGAGAUGAAGGAGAGCUGGAAAGGACUGGGCAACCUUUGUGCAUCUAUGAGAUUUACCAUGGAGCUGGAGCUUGGCAAUUUCUACAUCAUGGUUCUUUGUACCGUGGGUUGAGUCUUGUAAGUUUUUUUGAUCCAGGAACACUGGCUUAUAUUAAGUCAUCUGUUGCAACAUGAACUAAGAAGAAACUAUCUUUCUAGAGCAAGUUCAGUAAUCUAUUCUAUUACCUCGUCUGUGUUGCUGACACUUGUGUGUUUCUUCUAGUAGAAAUUGCUGGUUUUCUUACUUUGAAUAAUUGUUAUCCUCUUUUUCUAGGCUGUGUUUUGCAUGUAAGUUUUGUAGUUUGUCAGUGCUAAUACUGGUAAAUCUCCCCAGUCUACUCGGGCCAGAAGAUUGAGGUCAGAUGAUGUUGAUGCAGUUGCUCGGCUUCCUGUCCUGAAUGACACAUAUUACCGAGACGUACUUUGUGAGAUUGGAGGCAUGUUUUCAGUUGCGAAUGGUGUUGAUAAUAUCCAUAAGCGACCUUGGAUCGGUUUUCAGUCUUGGCGUGCUGCUGGGAGGAAGGUGUGCCCUAAUUUUUUCAUGUAUUUCAGAGGAAUUGUCUUUCUGGCUAACCUUGCUUCUUUUUUAUUCUAGAUAAUGAAAUAUCAUAUAUUAAAAUUGAGGUUCUAAUGCCUGUAAUGGGAUUGCAAGAUAGUGUUGUCAAAAUAGUUUUCCUUUACCAUUAAUUGUUAUUUUUGUAAUCAAGCAAAAGAAUAUUUUUCAUCUGAAUGUCUUCUGGCCUACAAUAUAUGACAGGCUAGUCUCUCUACAAAAGCUGAGCAGGUUCUGGAAGAAGUAGUACAAAGAAAUACUAAAGGAGAUGUGAUAUACUUUUGGGCGAUGUUGGACAUGGAUGGUGGAUUUAUGGGGAGGAAUGACGUGCUUACUUUUUGGUCCAUGUGUGACAUCUUAAAUGGAGGAAACUGCAGGUUAGAGUGUUUUGGGAGACACAUGACCUACGCUGUUUUUAUAGCUUUUCUUAGUUUUACAUAUCAUUUAAAGACUACAGGCAUCUAAAUUUUUCUCCCCUUUUAAAGAUGCUAAAUUACAUAGAAUAUGAGAGAAUCUUCUCUCUUCAAAUUUGCAUUUUUUUUUACUUAUUAAGCUAGUGUUUGAAGAUUGUGUUGCUAAAUUUUUUUCAUUUGAAUAAUUCAAAUUUGCAGAAGUGCCUUUGAAGAUGCAUUCCGUAUAAUGUAUGCCCUACCGUCACAUGUAGAAGCCCUUCCACCCAUGCCUGAAGAUGGAGGGCGCUGGUCAGCCCUACAUAGCUGGGUCAUGCCAACCUCUUCUUUUCUGGAGUUCAUUAUGUUUUCCAGGUAAUUUCCCUGGAGUAACACAUUGCUUAACCUUUUGGCAAUUUAAUAUCAUGAUUAAGAUGCCACGGCUGAGGUCGUUGUUUGCUUUACCUGCAUUUUGUCAUCUGACUGAAAAUUCCUUUGCAUAUUAGGAUUUUUGUGGAUUCUCUCGAUUAUUUGCGUGUAAAUUCAAGCAACAUGACUUCUUGUUUGUUGGGGUCUUCAGUGUUGGAGGUAAGCAUAGACCAAAAGUUAUCUGUAAUCAAGAAAAUGACAAAAUGAAAGAUUCUGAUGUUGAAAUUGUGACACUUCUACCAGAAGCAGCAUUGUUACUGUCGGGUGAUGGAACUUCUGGUCAACGUAUGGGCAUAUCAUAGUGCACGUAGGAUGGUUUACAUUGAUCCCCACUCAGGUUUGCUGGAGGAACAACAUCCGAUAGAACAACGGAAAGGAUUUAUGUGGGCGAAGUACUUCAACACCUCAUUAUUGAAAAGUAUGGAUGAAGACCUUGCUGAAGCAGCAGAUGACAAUGACCAUCCAUAUGAAAUGUGGUUAUGGCCAUUAACAGGGGAAGUUUACUGGCAAGGUGUAUAUGAGCGUGAGAGGGAAGAAAGAUAUAGGUUGAAGAUGGACAAGAAGAGAAAAACAAGAGAGAAACUACUCGACAGGAUGAAACAUGGAUAUGUGCAGAAGGCACUUGGAAGAUUGAAGCUGUAGAUCUCAGCAGGAAGAGUUGAAAGUUUUGUUGGAAUUUCCUAUUCCUAUUGUCGUCGAGGAGGUGAGGUGAUAAUUUUUCUAAGCUUGAGCAUUCGAAGAGCCUCAUGCUGAUAAUGGAGUAAAGUGAUUGUUCCUUAACAGCAUCAAAGGUAGUUGGAACUGACUUAUUCUUCUGACGUUACUCAAUACAUUGAACGGGGGUCGCAGGUGCCAAGAUACACUUGAAAAAAAGCAAGCAAAGCUAGAAUGACAUACCAACAAUUUUGUAGCCAACAUAGCAUACAGGUAUAAAUUGCACGGCCUUCAACACUACUCCAGAUCUAACUGAUUUUGACUGGAAUUCUUUAGACAUACAAUUGUAUUCUUUUCACAUGUACAUAUCCUUUGAAAUAACGAUCCAAUUCUUCUGAAAAGCCCCUUUUUGGCUCUCUGACUUGUAACUACUAAAACCAUGACACCCUCGAGUAGAGGUUUACAAUUUUGACUAACUUAUGGGCUGCUAUUGCUUGAGGGGCAGAUUUCGUACUCGUACUAUUUAUAGGAAAAUGGGUUUACCGCAUUAUUCUUCCAAAUUUGUAACUGCUUGCAACCCACUAUUGGUGCGAUGUUCUUUCAUACAAUUUGACAGGAUUAUAGUAACUGGCACCUUAUGUGCACAGUUAACUUGUGACAAUAUCAAGGGAUACUCUGUUCCUAGUUUCGUGUUCCUAUUUCCUAGUACUUUGAUGAUUUUCAAGGCGAAACCAAAAGGCAAACCCAAUAACAUUUUAACGAACACAUUCUAAAAUCCUUAAAUGCAAAUAGGAUUGGAACACCAAGCUCUGGUUUUCUUAGCGGUGUCAAAUUUGUACAUAUUGGUCACAUUUAUUAGCCCAAUUUCCCCUGUUUCAAAUGGGUUUGGGCCACCUAAAUUGUCAAGCUGAUCCGUGUAACUCAUUUGCAUGCACUUGGACAAAUAGCUCUAUUUCCACUCGUCCCUUUUUGCCAAAUUUGCUUGAAAUUUUCAGCGUUUUUUUCUCACAGAAAGUGUGACGUUUGCAAUUUCAAUUGCGCACUUCUAAUUGCAAUGCCUGAUUUGGGGAAAUUUUGGAGCAAUGUCAGUAGAGUGCCCGGUUUCACUGACUGCUUCAUCGGAAACUUCUCUUAAAAACUAAUCAAUAUUUUAAAAAGAUGUAGCAAAUUUUAUUCUCCUAAAAUAGGCUUAUGAGAAACGGAGUUGAAAGUGCACGACGAUGAAUGGUCCAUAAAUUUUCAAUUGAACCAUUAAUAUAGAAUAUGUUUGGAUAGAAUAUUAUUUGGGAUAAUUUUUUGAAUAAAUAUUAUAACACUUUUUUAAUAUGAUGUAUAUAAAAUAAAAUUUUUUUGAAAAUAUGUUUGUAGUAUAACAAAUAAUAAGUUGUCCAAACAAACUUACAGAUAAAAAAAAAAUUGUAGUAGCAGCAAGAUCCUGAUUGAUGUUUGAACACAUUGCACUGUAUGAACUGAUUAAAUCAGUUCACUAACCAAAACCUGCAAGCAAAAGAUUUAGAAAACAUCCAAAAUCAAACACAUAGAGACAAAAAAAAAAAAUUGGGACGAAGAAGGAUUCGACCAGGAUAAUAUAGUCAUUUCAACAUUCAACGGACAUUUUUUUUUCCUUUCCUUUCGUUUUAUUUUUUGUCUCUUGAAAUAUUAAUUUAAUGUAUAGUAAUAAUUUAAAAAUAAUCCCCCCAUGCCAGCCAGUACUAAAAUCCUGCCCUCCCUCAUCGUACGCCUAAUUAGACUCAAUUGGGAAUGUUGGGCUGAGCAGCAAAAACCGUGUAGGGUUUUCGGCUCCCACUCCAAACCCCUACUGUUCCCUGUUCACACCUUGAAGACUCAUCUUACGCAUCUGCUUCUUCUUUCAGGUGACACCCAUUUCUUGCAUUUCUAGUUAUCAAAUCACUGACUUCUUUAUGGACUUUAGCUUAUCUUACUUUUUUUUUAUCGGUUUUUUGUUGACAAAAUGAACUGGUCGUUCAUUCUCUGCUGUUUCCCAUUUUGGUUUUCUUUUGAGGAGCAACACUGUAUGCUGAAGUUCUUGUAAUUUUCUUCUGAAUCAUUUGUUGUUUUCGUUUCAAAUUGGGAUGGGCUUGCAAAGUUGAUGUCCCACUGCAUUUCUUGGUUGCUGGAAUGUGGAGGAAUUAGUAACCCAAGUUAUUUUGUUCUCUUUUUUCUAUUUAGACAUGAAUGCUGGAAUGCUAGUGGAAAAUUUUCAAUUCAGCUAAUUUUUUUGGUUGGGCAUUAUGUGGGCCAGCCAAUUUUCUUUUUUUUUUUUGGGGUUACAAAAAAUUUGUCUAGUCUAUAUGCUUAAUUGUUUUUUCCUUUUGUGUUGGGGUUUGAGCAGAAUGCUGGCAGAAAUAUGAUUAGUUUUGUGUCAAAUCAGUUGACAUUCUUCGAAAGAACCAAAGAGACACUCCCUUAGAAUACUAAUGAAUCUUAUUCUCUCUUAAUGUAUAUGCAUAUAAGGAGGCCGGUCUUUUGUCUAUCUUACAGAGAAAUAGAGUCUGGAAAGUGAUGAGAUAAACUCUGCAGUUCAUAGGUCUUUGAAUGUGUGACAUGACAUAUACAUGCGGCUAAGAAACCUAUCUUUUAUGUUGCUUGUUUACCCCACGAAAGGCAUCAACUGAAAAUUAUUCUAAUCACCUGAAAUUCAUAUCUGUGGUUGAUGUGUAAACAUACGUUGUACAGUCACUGACUUGCAACGAUCCUAAACUAUCGAAGAAGUAAGCAGUAGCACCCUGUUUUUGUAUUGCCUUUUUUUAUGUUCUUGGAGCUCAUAACCAAAAUUUCACAUAACCAAAAUUUUCAGAUGAUGCAUGCAAUCAAAGGUGGAUGGGUUGGGCAAACAUUUGCCCUUGCUGCAUAUAGUGACUCUGGAGGGAGGAAGGCAAGGAUUAGGCGUUCAAAGGAGGAGAGGAAGGCAAUGGUUGAGUCUUUUAUAAAGAAGUAACCUUUUCAAACUUGCUCUUUUUAUGAAGAGAAUUUGUAUAUUAUUUACAUUACAAUGGUGAUCUAUUUUGUGCAUGUGUCUGUGUAUUUCUUUUUUAAUCAUCACUAUUAAAUGUUCACUUUUUGCAUAAGGAUGAUUGUGUUAGCAUGUAAACUUUUGUCAUCUGGUCCUUGAGAGUAAUAUAGAUUGUGCUUUUCCCAAAAUGAGAAAUCUCUUUGUUUGUUGUUUAGGACUAGAAUUCAUCUAUUUUAGUUUCCUUGACCAUCCACAUAAAUAGGAAGAAGAACUUAUUUCAUUUAGUUUCUUAAAUUGUUCCUUUUUUACUAAAUAUACUCGCUGACGUCUUCACAUUUCUUGGGUCAAUUUCUUACAGAUAUCAGAACUCAAAUAAUGGAAAUUUUCCAUCUUUGAAUCUUACACACAAGGAAGUUGGUGGUUCUUUUUACACAGUUCGGGAAAUUGUUCGAGAAAUUAUUCAAGAAAACAAAGUAUUAGGUCCAGCUAAGUUUUCAGAAGAGCAGAGCUACGAUAAUGUUUUGGAGCAUUAUCCAUUAGGAUCCAUUUCCAUUGAAGCUCAAAGAAGUUCAUUACCAUCAGAUGAACUGAAAAGUGUAAUCCAUAUUUCAUCCAAACAAAGACAGGGUACCGGUGAAGAACUUGUUGCAAAUUCUAAUGGACUAUUCUUUGGGUAUGAGCAUCAAAAUCUAGAUAGUGAUCAAGUAGUUAAUGGUGUAAUUGAGACAAUUAAAGAUGACGUGGGAUCAGAUGGACCAAAAAACGUAGCUCAUACUUCAUCCAAACAAAGUCUGGAUAGUGGUGAAGAAGUUGUUGCAAACUCUAGUGGACAAUCCUUUGUGUCUGAGCAUCAGAAACUACACAAUGAUCAAGUAGUUAAUGGUGCAGUUGAGACAAUUAAAGAUGAUUUGGGAUCUGAUGAAUGCAGUUUAAUUGAAGCUGCAACCCCUACUCAUGAAGGCACAAGUGAUGAAAUCCUUGAAAAUUUGAGUGGGCAGUUGACAGGACCUGAUUGUCAGGAGUUUGACAGCAAACCAAUUGGCGAUGUUAGUGAGCCAACUGACGAGGAUGAAGAAUCUAAUGAACCAGUUAUACGUAGUCCUGUGUCUAUACCUAAUCCCAGAGUUAUUCAAGAAGAUCACCAGGAAAGUAGGGGAGAACAAGUUGUACAUUCUACCAUAGAUUUUCCUGGAGAUGGCCAUCUGAAAGCAGACACGGAAGAAGAUGUCAAUGGGAUUAGUCAGGCAAUUGGAGAAACUGAAUAUGAACAACCAGUAUUGGCAGUGGCUGUAGGAGAAGAUAGCCUGGAUGUCAACAAAGGUGGUACUAAAACAGUUGAGUCAUCAAAUGUUGGUAUGACUCGCGGGCAAGCUGACAUAGUUGUCGAAAAAUUUCCACUUCAUCCCAUUGCUAGGAAAUUUGAUGACUUGGAAGGAAGAUUAGAAGAACAAAGUCAAGGAACUAGAACUCUGGAGGUAAACAAAAUUGAACAGGACAGCGUACAAGUUACAGAGCACUCUUGUAGUGCUGUGCAGGUGGAAGCUGGUGCAGACCUUGCUGUUUCAAAAAGCAAGAGUGAGCUGGUGGGUAAAACUGCCAGCCUAAAUGAUGGGAAUCCACCAUUGGAAAUGUCAAAUUGCUCUGCAACCAAAAAAGUUCCUGUAUUUGACAUGAGCAAUGCUGCAGAAAUCGGAGCAAAGGUCUCUUCCCCCACUGAAGCAAAGGUAUUUUACUUAUGAUGUAUUUAAUAUAUCUUUUGCACAUGGCUUGGGAUGUAUGUCUUUGCAUCCCUAACUUUGUGCUUAUUAAAGGGCUUAAAUCUUGUAGCUGUGAAUAAGAUGUAGAGGGACUUUGGGCUAUGUGACAUCUAUGUGCCAAUGAAAGUGGUUAUUUCCUGUUCCUAGUCCUGAUUGGUUGAAUUCAUUGGGAGGCCUUGUAAUGGAAGUAUAUAUACGGUCAUGUUUGAAAAUCAGAUGAGUGGAGAUGCAAGUGAAACUUACACUUUGGUACUGUAACACUACGAGGUUAAAAGUGUAAUGGCACUCAGAUCCCGGAUGAACUCUUCUGAUUGCAUUACGGUGAACCUGGGUACUUAUGAUGAGUCUUGCAGCCUGGAGCUAUCUUGAUCUUGCAAUUUGGUAGAACCUCCAUUUGUGGUUGUCUUGUUAAUUAUUCUUCAGCUGUCGCAACGUGGAUAUUAAUGAACUUGUCAGUACUAGUUUAUUAAGUCUAAUGAAGGUAAUUUAAAAUUUGGUUGUAACUAAAAAUUUAUUAUGUUCUGAAGAUGAAAGGUCACAAUUUGGUGGGGUUUCAUUAAAGGUGCAGCAGGUAUGGUGGCCUAUACAUAGAAAAAUUGGAAGGUGGCUACUUGUGUUUGGCUAUCACAUACUGUAGCUGUUGCACAUUUUAUUCUUUUCCUAUUGGGUGGUGCUAAUUUCUCUGACGUUAUUUUACAGCCUGCGAAUGUUCCAACGGGUACCAAUGAGAAACAUGGUGACAUAAAUGCUGGUGUUUCUCAUGAACAGUCCAUUCCAGAUGAAACCAUUGGAAUAGAAGACAAACUAAAGAUCGAAGGUGAUAGCAGCUCCAAGGAGGGAAGCAAUCCUACAUUAAACAGAAUUAACCUGUAAGUAUCUUUUGUGGCAUCUCCUAGGCCUUUUUGCAUACAGUUCAAGAUGUCACUCUUUAUCAUUUCAGAGUGAUCAGUUUCAACAUUCCCCAGUCCCCGGACUGCCCCACCUAUGUACUGUUCAUUUAGCCUCACCCAAUUGAGUUUCCCCUUUGCAGUGAAACAUGGGAAAGGACAUCAGAGCUGCCCGCUGAAUCUGAAGUAAAUCCAGUUUUUGCAUUCUUCAAGGCGCUUGUUACUGCUUUUGUGAGAUUUUUGAAUGGAUGAGAGUUUACGGGGUGUUAUAAUGUAGCUUUUGAGAGUAUCUGCAGGGUGUUAAGCUUAGUGUUUGCAGCUUAUGGGACACUUUAAUUCCAUGAUAUUAUGAUAUCUGGUAACGUACUUAAUGUAUAUGGUGGUUGCUGCGGUCAAUUACAUGAUGCUUGUAUCCCUGAAACCUAGGUAGAAGAGGAGACCUUGCUAGAUGGAUGUCAUCAAGGAGCUGGUCCAUCAUUUCAGCUUCUUGAUGACCUCCCCUCAUCUGCACCAUUAAAGUUGGAUGGAACAAGUGUAAGCAUGGUCUGGAUAAAUCUACAUUUGCUUCCUAAUAAAAAGUAAAAUAGCUUGAAGUAGUUGUAUGAUCUCCUUGUAUCCUAAGAAAUAUCGACAGCAUAAAUAAAUUGUCCAUCAAGUUGUGAUAAAUCCCAAUUUUCCAUGGGAGACACUGUUAGCAGAAAAGGACAUAGUACUGUUUAAUAAAGAGCAGCCCUACUCAUUCCACAACAGAAAAUGGUCAACAGAUGAGUGGUUGCUGUUUAUUAUAUUUAGAUUAGAAGAAAAAAGAAGAAGAAGAAAAAUCCCUUUCCAUCCCCAGCUCCACUGGAAAAGUGACGCAGCAGUAUUCCAGGAACAGAAUUCAGUCCACCACAUUUCAUACGAUCGCGGAUGGCUGAGAAGGUCUUGUUCUUAAUUCUUUCUUGUAGAUGCUUUCCAACUGUUAGCGCAAGACUAAAGCUUGACCAUUCUGGGAUCUUUUGCUUUAUAAUUACGUUGCUUGCAUCACAUGGAUGUGUUAGUCCACCUAAAAGCAAGGCAUUCCCAGUCUAGAAGGGAUUCAUUAUUACAUCUUCCUUUUUGCAAGGGUGAGAUUCUCGAGCGAGACUUUAACUGAGGUCUACUUUUCGUUUUCGUUCGCCAUCAAAGCAUCAUUGGGUUUGGUCCAUAGACUACUCAUUGAGGUUGUCAAUUAAGAGUCCAAACCGGGCAAUCGAUUCCAGCUCUGCUAACGUGAUUACAUUACUGCCAGGAAGUAAUUGAAACUUAGAAAAAGAGCCUUUUCCUUUUCCUCUGUUCAAUUGGAUGUAGUAUUAGCAUGUAUGAGGGGUCACUGCUUUUUUCUUUCUUUUGUUUUUGGUAGAGAAUAAGAAUAGAAGGGCUAAAACUAAGACCAGUCCAACUCCAAUACAUGAAGGGAUUAUAUGUGCAAUAAUUUGUUUGAUUAUUUAGGAACUUAGAAUUGAUGUCUGCAUGAAGCGUUUCAGCGUUUUGUUUGGCAUGGUGUCAUGAUUUUGCUGCCAAGUUGUAACAAAACGAACUUAUAGUUUUUAGACUUUAGUUUAGUACAAUGCUCACAUUGCUGGAAUACAGCCAAUCGGGAGCAAGCAAGAGAUGCCCACAUAUUGAUUAAGCUUCCCUGGCUUUUGCAACAGAAUCUCAAGUACUAAAUAUGUUUUGUUCCAUGCGUUAAAAAAAUCAAAGGUUCACAAAUGUACAUCUCUCUCUGCACACAUGUAUAAUGGCAGGAUUUCUCUGUUCAAAAAAAAAUAUAUAUAUAUAUAGUCAUUUCUAUAAGAACAUAAGAAACAACAAUAAUACUCUAUAUUUUGAUGUUUGUUUGAGGGUCGGUUUGUGAUUGGUUCUAAAGCUUGUGUGACAAAAGGCAAAGGAUAUUAAAAAGAAAGAGAGAAAGGUGUGAAGCAAUCUCGAAGCAAGGAAUAAAGUGGAAAAUAUAAACUAAGAAAAAAAAUCCAGUAAUCUGUAAUUCAUCAAGACUCAAGAGCAAGACUAAAUUAAAACCCCCAAAACCUCCGCAAACUAAAAAAAUAUAAGAACAACGGCAAAGCUAUCUUACUAUAUUAUUAAUUUUCUUCAAACUAUUGAAAUACUAGAAUUCAAUGCAUUGUACACAAAUAAAUUUAACAAAGCUAUAUAUAUAGUAGCAACAAUUUUUCUAGUAUUCCUAGUUGGAGUAUAUGGUAGGAUUGGCAGACUCCUUGCGGCUUCUAUGACUAAAAACAAAUUCUUGAAAUGAUAUAAAAAAAAAACAAAAUUCGAGGAAGAUUCAAAAAGUUGCACAGGAUCAUUAUUGCAUGGGAUGGCAACAUGCAAUGAUAGGGGGGUGGCAUGGAAUUCCCCCAAGCAAUUAUUAGUUAUUAAGAACACUUCACACAUAAGGCCAAUAUCCCUUAAGCAGGGGUAAGGGGGACAAGGAGGGUGUCCAAAAACACGUAAUAAUGAUCCCUCUUCAUUCCUAUCUAAUCAGCAUGCAAUUGGAUAUGAAUCUCAGGUCAAAUGGCCUAAUAAUACAAAUCAGAUGACGGUGUCAAGGAUUCGGAGAAAUGAAAUUGUUGCCCGUAUAUAGCGGUCAGAGAAAUUACGCCAUCAUUUUCUAGGAUUUUUUUUUUUUGGGGUAUCUUUGUACAAUGUAUCAAUAGACAAGGACGUCCUAAUUAUACGUAAUGAAGUUGGGGUAAUGCAUGGUGAAAACCAAGCAAAAUAGAUAGGCUGAGGGGACAGUUCACAUGGAAAGAUUCAUUCAUGAGGUGGAGAUCAUGGAGAGGGUAUUUGGUAAACCCAACCAAAACAUAUAGUAUUAUUCAAGGCUCAGUUUCUUUGUUCUUUUAUUUGCACAAUAAUAAUAAUGAGGGAGAGACAGAUAUGGCAGAUAGGGCGUAUUGAAGGCUCUACGAUGGAAUCCUAUGCUAGUUUAUAAAUUAGAGUGACAGAGACAGAAAUGGGUACAAAAAUUGCCAACGAAGGUCUUAGGCUAAAUGCAUUGUACUACAAUUAAUUAUAGCUGACUGCGAGCCAAGCUGGUCGUGAGUAGUUCGGUCAAUUGCUCGGCUCGAAUUCGGGUUGACCAAGUUUGAGUCCGAACUUGAACUAUUCGAUUGGAAAGCAAAUCGAAUUUUGAGCCCAGAUAUAUGCUACUCAAGCUCGACGAGCUACUUGUCGAGUACUUUUUAAUUUAAACAUUAUAUUUUUUUUUUAAAUACAAAAUUAUCACUAAGGGUUUAUGCUUUCAGAUGAUUUACAAGCUGAUUUGCAUACCUAAUAAAACUCUUGAAUGGCAAAAAAGUAAUAGAAUUUGAAGUAGACACAAUAUAAUUUCAUUCGCCAAGUUUUGAACUUAAAGGCUCAAAAAUGAGGUCUGAUUGAGUUUCUAUACUUGAAAGCAUCAUUGAGUACUCAAACUUGAUAUGGCUCGAUCCUGAUUCAAGCCAUAUCGAGUCGAGUUUGAGUUUUAUACCGUUUUAGUAAGUGGAGUUCAAUUCUCUAUUCUCGAACUUAUCAAGUUCGAACUCGAGUCGAGCAGGGCAUCAAUAGUGUUUGAGUUGAGUUCGGGUAUAGAACUACUCAAGUUUGACUCAACUUGUAUACACCUGUAACUACAAAUUUUCGCUUGAAAAUUUGACCAGUAGAGAUCAAAAUGAAAUAUUAAAAAAUACUAAGCACUUGUGGCAAUUUGCAUCAUGUGAGACGAUUCCAAAUAUGCCCUCAUACUGAAAACGGAAUUGAUUUAAGAAAUAUGGAUCUUUAUGAACGGAAAAAAAAGAGUAAGUGUAUUUGGUGUUAUCCGUAGAUAAAGCGUUACUCAUAGGUCAAAAAAGACACCGACUCAAGUUUAUCAGCUUUUUUUUAGUUUUGCUUUUUUUUUUUUUCUUUUUGGGGGAAAAUGUUUCUAGGUAGCAACAAGUGCCACAUUCUUGCCCCGUAGAGGAGAAGGAAUAGAAAGAAAUGGAAGUAAAAUAUCCAGGACUCUGGUAUAUAUAUAAUAUCUCAUGGUUGAAUUUUAGCUUUUCAUACAUCCAACAAACAUAUAUUAGCAUCUUACAGACACAACUAUUCAAUUUUGGGAUCAUCAGCGAACUUUUACAUAUACAAGACACCGACGAAGAUUCGUGCAAACAUGGAGAGGAAGAAAAAAUUUGGUCGAAUUCUUAGGAACAAACAAUAUCUCCUCAACAUCUUUAAUCUUGAAUAUCCUGCCAGAUAAUUUUUAAUGAGAUGCUUCUUAAGUUCACUGGGAAUAAGAAAAUCUAAUGGAAUUAUUUACUGCAGGCAGGCUUUCUUAGAGCGCAUGUAGUAGUGGUGGUGUCCAUGCAGGUUGCUCUCACCUUUUUGAGCAAUUCUUUGUCGGACAAACUCCAUAUUGCACCUUCGAAUUCGUAUGAUUUUUUCACUUUACAUUCUAAACUUCAAAUUUAAAUACUUUGCACAUUAAAUUCUUAAUUUUAAACACUUUACAUUCUAAUCAAUUAAGUUUGUUCUAUUUAAAUCUAGUCAGCGACAACUUCAGCAAAAUUAACGGCAUGUACGACUUAUCAAAUUAAUGAUAAUAUGCUGAAAGUUGUUAAAAGGUAGCAAGGUAUCAUAGCAAAAAUAAAACAGUAUAUUGGAAUUAAUUUGUACCAUCUUUUAUCUAAUUGAUUUUGCUAGAAAUAUUAGCGAUUGAAACUAUAUAAAUCAAUAAUAAUAUGCUAAAAUGGUCAAAAAAGCUAAGAGAUCGCACUGAAUGAUACAUUUUUAUUGAUUUUCACUACACCCCUUUACCUCAUACAUUUUGCAAGCAACAUAAUCAUUGGUUAUAUUUAAACACGACAAACUUGAGAGUUUAGGGUGCAAAGUGCCCAAAAUUAACGGUGUUUGGAUUGCAUUUUUCAUGAAAAAAUUACUGUAGUGAUUUGAUGUAUGUAAGAGAAAAAGGUAAUAGGAAAAUGUGAUCACGGAAAACAAUGUAAUUUUCCGACGGAAAACUGCAAUCCAAACAAGGCAAUUUGGAUUGCAAAGUGAAAAGGUGAUAUAAGUUUGGGAGCGUAAAGUGAAGUUAGUCCUUCUUUCUUAAUUAACUUAACGUAAGUUAUAAGCUUGGAUUCACAGGCCAAUUCCAAAAAAGUUGAAACCAUGAAUUUCAGAUCCAAGAUUGAUCAGCGUCCUUUCCUUCCUUGCACUGUCAAGUAUCCAAGUCCUGCGAUGUGCAAUGUACAAUGUGGGCUAUUUAAUUAAUGAGUUGCAGCUUGUCAUUUUCUAGUACUCAUCAUGCAAAUUGGUAAAUGUAUCUCACCCUCUUCACCGUUUACAACCCAAGUUUACCUUAAAAAAAGAAAGAAAGAAAAAAAGAAAAAUUGGUACUGCAAUGGAGAACAUUAAUAUUAUCUAGGCAGCAUAGAAACAAACUUGUCCCAGUAGCACUUUUAAGCAAUUAAAUUCCUUCUACUUUCAUGAGCCUCUAGUACAGUACUACAGUUACAGGACAUGUCAAUAUAAAAACUGAUCAAAAUAGUAGUGACGAUCCAGAUGACAAAAAUCUCACAGGUAAAUGCCUCUAACAUGCAUUCACAAUCUUGACUGCAGAACCGCAGGAGCAUCUCCUCUUCAUCCUUUUUGUACUUCUUAAAAACUAAAAUAAAACGAAAAAAAGAAAAUAAUAGAGAGAUUUGGAGGAGGAAAAAAUAAAAAUUGCCAAUGAAGAAAAGAUGAAAAAGGUUUGUGAGUAAAGGUGGGGAAGACAGGUAGUUACAUCUGGAGCCAAGUGACGACAGCCUGAGAUGGACAUGUUAGAAAAGUUGUUCUACUACUGUAGUCUGUGCUGCCACCAAUCUAUCUAUCUUAAUCUGCUGGUUUGUGUGAGAAUAAAGAAUGCCCCUACGACCUUUUCUCUACUCAAUUACCUUCCAAUGCACGCCUCUCUUCCAAACUCUUCUUUUUCAACCCGUAUAUAUAUGUAUGUAUGUGUAUAUAUUCCCUGCCCAUUCCUACACUUGUAUCUCUUACAAUUUCCUGUUUACAGGUUCCUCCUUAUCAGCUUUCCCUCCAGUUCCUCGACCAACCCUCCACCCACCAGAAAAAACCGAAAGAACGGACAAAAAACCCAUGUCUACGGAUCUAGAAUUACGCCAAGAAUUGGUGGAAAUCCGAUUACCAGCUCUAAACAUCAAGGUUUCACAGUCUUCAGAUAGUACGGAUGAUGGCGGUGCUGUAAUUCAGUCACAAGAAAGCACCACCGGCACGGGCAGCUGCAUCAUUGAAGAAGAAGAGUGCCAUACUCCAAAAUCGCCUCAGCAUAUGAUCCCAGAAAUUCUUAGCUGCCCACCUGCCCCAAAGAAGCCUACGAGGCCUGCUUCCUCCUCAUGCAAGAGAAAAUUAUCUGAAUUUUUCGAGUUUGUGGGACGGGAAGAGAUUGAGUCUUUUUUCAGGCAGCUCGACGUGCCGAAUUCUACAACCGGUGUCAUCAAAAAGAGGUGUCUUGUAUAAAAUUUAUUCCACAUUCAGAAAUUUUCUAAGGCCGCCCCAUUUUCUUACAUUGCUUUGCAAAUUGGAAUCAAUUGACAAAGCCACAGCAAAGUGAAUUACGAUCAAUUGUGUAUGUAUUACACCUUUUUAUAUGUUAAAGAAAAUGUAUUAUUUGAUUCACAAUUCUUGUUAUUACCACAACUAUUAUUAUCUUCUUUUCAUUUCUUUUUGUGUAAGUUGGAUCUGAACUGAAGGCUGACAUGAUUGAGAAUUUACUCAAAUUAAUUUGAGUAAUUAACUUGCACUAUCUUCUCUCUCUCUCUCUCUCUCUCUUCUUUUUUUGUUUAUUGAAAUUUGGUUGGGAAGGUUGGUUCACUUGGUUUUAAACAUGGAUGACGAUAGUUAAUUAAGGCUGCUAAAACAUAGAUUAGUGAUGAGUUUUGUGAGGGAGAUGAGUGGUUGGUUGGUUGGUUUUGUCCGAAGGAAGGAAGAUGUGAAUAAUAGAUGGAAUCAAUCCACCAAAUAAUCAAUGAAUGAAAUACAGCUACGACUAAUUCAGUUGGUGCAAGUUUUUUCUUGAGAAAGAUUUGAAUUAGGUUUGAUGAUGCAGCAUGAUCGUGUUUGACGUUAUGGUUGAGUGACAGACACGGUUUUGGGAUUGACAUCCUUUGAUUAUCUUUUUUUUUAGCGUUCCUCAUCUCUGUCUUGCCAAUCCAGAAAGAGAUAGAGAAUUGACAGGUAUUUGUCCUUUUUUUUGCUUUUGUCCUUAUUAAUGCAAACAAAAUUCGGCACUGUAAUAUGUUGUACAUAUAGCGUAUUCCAUGCUUCAGCCUGCUUUGGAUUGCCAUUUUGAGAGCAAAAUUUUUACAUUUUUUGUGAAUAUGUUUUCUCCCUCACACACAUCACAUCCUUAAAAAAAAAAGUUACAAGAAUUUUUUCCAAAAAACUUUCGAGGACUAAAACUUGUCGUUCCACGCCCCCUCCUUCUUUUGUCGUUAUUCGUUGAGCAAUUUGUUUUUUUUUUUCAAGUGUAAACGGGUAGAUUCGGGGUUUAAAGGCGAAAUCUCUCAUUUACACUCCCUUCUCCCUUACCAUCCAAUCCAUCCCUUCCCCCGUUAAGUAAUUUGCUAAAACAACAUACAAAUACACAUACAUGAUCGCUUGCUUUUGUGUCCAAGAAAAACAUAUACCACUAGUUAUUUUUUUGGAGGUUUUAUAGAAAAAUAUACGGUUAUAAUUUGAUGUAUAUAAAAUAGAAAGGUAAUUAAAAAAUAUAUUUGUAAAAAAAAAAAAUUUUUUUGGGAGAGAAAGGGCAAUCCAAGCUCAGCAAUGAAACUGGUACAACAAGAAUAAAAAAAAAACAGAGAGAGAGAGAGAGAGAGAGAGAGAGAGAGAAUAAUAGUGCUAGGAUGGGUUGAAUAAGUGCGAUAACUGGCUUUAAUUACGCCACAUAGGAAGUGUGCGAGUUCACAUGCCGGCCUACAACUUUUGUUGGUAUUUCAAUUAUUUUUAAUGUAGGGCUGGCAGUCUUCGUUAACAAACUUGGAAUUCAUUUAUAAAAGGACGAAAAAAAAGUUGGGGAAAAAGAUAGUCUUACAUGACCACGUAUUCACUUGACUUCUACAUUUUUAACGUGUGCAUUUUGAAUUUCAGAAGUGUUUCCACGGAAUCGAACGGAUUUUGAAGGCUAUUCUUUGAAAGAGCAAUCUUAUAGUUAGCAGUUGAAUUUGGACAUAAUUUGUUAAGCAGAUUGAUAACCAUACACCUGGCCAUUUGAAUUUGAUUCAGACUCCAUCCAUACAAUAAGAGAGAAAAAAAAAUGCCGAACCUGACGUGACUAUUCUUCUAAGUUGCUGUGGUUGCAUCAGCAUUCAACAUUCAGAUUAUAACGAUGGUCCCUACUCUCAGGUGCUACUCAUUAACACAUUUAAAAUUCAUUUAACUUAUAAUUUAUAUAUGCAUACUGAUAAUUAUUACCUUUUCUUAUAUUUAUAUACUUUUUUUAUUUAAUCUUAUCCACCCUCUUUUAUAUUUACUUACUUUUUCUAGUCAAUCUUACGCUUCUAAAAAUAUACGACACUUUAAAUAUAUUUUAACGAGUACUCAAUAGGUAUCCAUUAGAUAGGCACUUUAAUUAUCUUACCUUUUAAUUUGGCACCUUUUAUAAGAGAAAUGACCUAGAGUUAAAAAGGACCCGAUUAACAAUUCGAUUGUAUUUUUUUUAUUAUUAUCUUUCAUCCCUUUCCCAUCCUUAACUGUGAGGAUUCAAAUCCUAAACAUGACAGUGAGGAGAGUUCUUCCCUGAUCACUGGCUAACCCCUGUGAUUUAAUAAUUUGAAUGUACUAUAAGAUUACUGUGUGUUAGAAGGUGAAAAUAAGUAACUAGGCGUGUGCAAAAUAAAAAAAUUUCGAUUUACAGACCGAAUUUGAAUUCGGUAAUUCGGAAUGAAAAUCGGAAUUUCGAUUUCAAAUUGGUCGAAUUCGGUAACGAAAUUUUUCAAAUCGGAAAUUCCGAUUUCUAAUUCAUAAUUCGAAAUCGAAAUCGAAAUUCGGAAUUUCUAUUUCGAUUUCAAAUAUGUUUUUCAUAUAUAUAUAUAUAAUAUAUAAUAUAAUAUUUAUUUUAUAUUCAUGAAUUCGGUGAGAUCGGAAUUUACCGAAUUCCGAAUUGUAUUUUGCAAGAUUAUAGCGCAGUACUUCAAAGAGUAUUUUGCAUGCAACGUGACGAUAUCCCCUGACAGAUAGGACAGUGAAUAAUAAUAAUAAUAAUUCUGGGCCAUAUGUCUCUACUGCUCGAUAUCCCCCCGCGAGAUACUAACACCGGAUCCAGAAUAUUAAAUCACAUAGAACAAAACGGAGCAAAGUAAAAACUAGAAUUCAUUUUCUGUACUCCGUUGUAGGAAUAUCUUAACCCUCAGUCACUUGUUUCGCUUUAAAUUUUUCCCCUCUUCCUUGAUCAGCUUUGACAUACUCUGUAUUUGUAUUUAACCAAAUUCAAACUGACAAAAGGCUGUAUGCGGACAAUGUCGUAUUAAUCACGCCACUUUUGAUGGAUACGUAUAUAUAUAUAUAUAUAUAUAUAAUUAAUUAAAGCUUUGAGUAAGCUUCAAUCUUACGUGUCCUUUCCUGCGGAUAUUAGCAAGAAGAAAAAGUUAGAUUACCUACAAUUAAAGACAUGAUUUAGACAGAUUACGUAUUUGAGUCAGGACCAGAUCAGAAGCACAAAAGUAAAGAAGAAGCCGGCAGGCGCUUUUAUGGUCGAGCUUAAACCAUAAGUUACUUUUCCGUCUCUUGAUUUUGACGGAAUAAUUAAAGAGGCAGCAGCAGCAGCAGCCCACCCCCAGCGCCAACUCGCAGACAGAGAGCCAGAGAGGUAUAAAGAUGGUGAAAUUAAUAUCCAUAAAUUGAUGAAUUAAUUAUAUAGUUCAUGGAUACAACAUUCACGUGGUCAGGAAUAUUAGAGUUCAUUAAAGGGGACACAUGCAUAUGUGUACAAAGUGAUAACGGCGGCAGAAAUUCUUGAAAAUCAUUUAUUCCCCUGUAUGUGUGCUGUAUAUUCAGCUUGAUUAUAAAACUUUUUUAGUGUUACAGUUUGCAUCCUCAGAAUACCAUGCAUCACAAUUAUACGUCAAUAUAUAUAUAUAUAUAUAUAUAUAUAUAUAUAUAUAUAUGAAUAUCUUAUUUAGCUGAGCAACACAAUAUAAUUGACAUCAAAAGCUAUUUUGAAGAGCAGCGCGUCGGUUGCAGAUGAAACGUCUUACUGACUAGAUUAUGUUUCGCUGUUAGAUAGUAUUCAUUCAGUAUAAUUUUUUCUUAUAUGGGACGUAAAGAGGACGCAUUGCUAGUUGGAGCCUUCUAGCUCUGGCGUCAACCACAUCCUCAAAACCCACCAAACGUUAGGUGUAUGUUUGGUAGGUUUAAACAAAGUUAUAACGAUGGUUUUGAUCUGAUUCCAUCUGAUUGAUCAAUCAUGUGAAACUAAUUUUUCAUUUUUAUUGCUAGUCGGCGGCCAUGUGACCGAGAAAUUCAUGAUCUUGUCGAACAAUAUUAGCAAAUUACUGAAAUAGGAGUUUUAGCUAGGAUCCAAGAACAUCUGUAAAGUUGCUAAAGCAAGUGUAAAGAAUCCACCACAUUGAUCUAAACUAAAGCAAAUGCAAAUCAGGUUAUAUAUAUAUGUAUAUAUAUGGACAACAAACAUAAAAAGAAAACCCCAGGAUGUGUAUAAAAUUUACCGAGUACAUAUUUACUGCUAAUUACCCAACUAGAAAACUAUUCAAAAUCCUCUUCCAAAGCAACAAAAAGAAAUGCAAAACUACGGGACAUAUUUCAAUUAUAGAAGUCCAAAAGUUGCCCCUCUAUCUUUGCAAGUGUAAAAAUCGCCUCAUCAAGAUGAAAUCCUACCGCAAGCGACACAAAUUAAGCAUUGGAUAAAACACAGAUUAACCGUCUAUCACAGGAAGUAUUUCCUCCUUGUGGGCCGAAAGGGAAAAAAACAAUUGCAGACAUGGAACUGGAAAAAGUGAAAGCUAAGAUCUGAUAAAAGUGAAGAAAAAGUGGAGUUAAAACCCUGGAUUUUGUAGUUAAAUACUAUCAUAACUGAUCCCUUUUGUCUACUGAGGUAAGACAAGUGUGUUCCCCAUAAAAGUGUCUCCUUGCACUACCAAGAAUGUUCAAUACAAGUACCAAUCACCGGUGGAAAUGAGAAUCUCUCAUUUUUGCCAGAAUACGAGGUGUGGAAGUUUCUUGGUGUUUAAUACUUGGAAUUUGGGACUACGGCAUUCUACGGGAUUUGUGAUGCUGGACUUGGGAACCACAACAUUAAGAGUUCUUAAUACAGAUUAUGAAUUAAAAAUUGCCAUUUGAAGGUCAUGCAAUUACUUAAUGCAGUCAUGGGUCUACACUUUUUCUCCACAACUACAUUACAAGUUUGUCUAUUUGAUAUCAAUAAUACAUAGCACUGGCUGAUUUAAUACAUGUUGCCUGUUGGAUAUUUUAAUAAAAAAAUAUCACAUAUUUAUUUUGAAUUCAAAUAAAAUAAAUUACAAAUUCUUUAAAUAAAUUUUCAGUUACAAAUUGAAACAUUUAAAUGUGUAACUUAUGAGAUUUAUGUCUUGCUUUUGUAACUUAUGUAAUGAUUAGGUUUUAUGAAAUCAUUUAGUAAUUUUUUUUUACCGUUAUACAAUGAAUCUAGAAUUUUCAAUUUGUAACUUAAAUAUGAGGUGUUAAUUCCUAUUAAUGUUGGUAUUUUAAUAUUCCUAAUUUCUUAGCCUAUAUAUAAGGCAUCUAUCAACCAAACCAAAUAUAUAUUUUGCUAUCUUUAUACUACCUUCUAUUUUUCCUCCACUACUAUAAGAGGUUAUAGGACAAAGAACAGUGUUAGUGUGAGGUUUCUGUCUUGCUUCAAUAGUGUAGAUUGGAAUAGACUACAGUGUGCAAAAGGCUAGGCUGUUGUAUUCUGAAGGCGACGUGCUGAGACCUACUACACCGGAGGAUACUCCGUAGGGACGUGAAUCGUCUUAAAGAGAGCGACUUAGUCCGCGUCUCAACCCAUGCCAAAUCAACAUAUUUAUGGUACAAAUUAUUUGCAUUUUUAAUGCAAGAUUAAGGUAUGAAUUUUUGUUAAUUUAUUUAUUAAAUUUUGUUAGAGAAAUUAUUGUGACUUAUAUGAUUUAUUUUGGUCUAGAACCAACAAUUUUAAGACGAGUUAGCCUCUUCACAUAAGAUAAGGUUAUCAUUGCAUGUUUUGCUUCUAAAUAAUCUAAUCAUAAAACUAACAUAAUCCCGACGAUAAGAAUCUUACAUGGUGUAUAACAUAAUCCGGACAAACUUUAAUAAACAAGAUAUUUCAUGUGAAUGGUUACAAUUAUAGACUGAGACUAGAAAGGGUAAUAUCCAUUGGUUUUAUGUGCUUUAGAGUCUGGUAUCAAUAUUAUGUAAGCGCAUAUAAAUAAUUCACAAUAUAUACCUUUGAAUCCAAGUUGCCUAUUAUUAAUAGAAUAUCAUGUAUUUGUUUGUUCGAGAAAAACAUGGUACUUGCAUGAUGUCUUUGUAUAUUAGUAGACUAAAUAUAAUAAUUUUUUGCCAUUUUUGAGUUUUUAAUAUAUGUUGUAUGAAGCAACUAUUUUCGCAUGAGCUUAUCGUGUUACAUAGUGAACUUUCAAUGUCUCUUAUAUUAACGGAUUUAUUCCGAUUGAAAAUUUUGGCAUUGACAUAUAAAUGAUUAAUUUGGUGAUAAAGAUAUAUACUCCAUGAAAUGCAUGUAUAACAUGACCAGUUAUUGUCUUAAGAAUAAUGGUAUCAAGGUGUAUAAAAAAAAACUGCAAUUAUGAGGGUUCAAGUUAUAUUUAAAUAAUGGGGGUUUAAAAUUCUCUAGUUUUGUCUUCAAUUCAUAUGAUCUUAGUCCAACUUGAGGUCUGCAUUUUCACAAGCAAUAAACGGUAUUGAUAAUACAUGAAGAAAAGAUUACACUGUCACCAAGAAAAAAUGAUAUAUAUAUAUGGAUAAUAGCUUUAGUGGCUUGAAGUUGUGAAAUAUAAAGUUAGUAGCCAUAUAAUUCUCAACAAUUCUAUUCUCUUGACUUGUAUUUUGUUAAAAUUGUAAAUAUGAACUUUUGAGUUGAAAAUGUGAUAUUGUACAUUGAAAAAUAUGUAUUUGAGGCAAAGGCCAUCAAUUUGCAGGCAACCAACAACUUUUGGAUUUGUAUUAAAUUAUUUCAUGAUGUUUGCUAUGUGGCUGUCUUUGCAUUUAAUGAAAACUGGAAUACUUAAUUUCCUUGCCAAGCAUGACUAUAGUAAGACUAUGUUUGGAUGGAAACGCAGACAGUGGAUGUUGACUAAGCUGGUAGCUAUGAAUUUUGAAACUCUUGAGAUUUUUCAUUAUAAGGCUUGCAUUACUUGCAAGUUGAAUUUUGAAAUUAAAACAUAAUAGUGCAUUGACUAUUAUAUUUUUUUGAAUUUUCUUAAUCUCUAAUUUGAGUUGUGCAGAUUAAAAAGUGAGGCAUGAUUUAAAUAGAUUUGAAUUACUUAUGAAGUUUUCUUGCAAAAGAAAAUUCAUUGAGGACUAUGAGAGUGGCGGGUUACUAGAUUACUAGCCAUUGAGAAGAUUAUAGAAAUGAUGGAAAUUAAUGUGGCUUUGCUUGAUGUGAGCAAAUAUAUGCCCAUUCUAUUUGCUCAAUUUAUGAGUAUGACAUAAUUAUUAUUUUUUUGAAUCUAUUCUAACUUUAUUUUGAGUUAUGCAGACAAGCAUUCACUGAAAAGCAUAACCUGAUGUGAAGGUACUUGAAAUAUUUUUUGAUAUUUUUGCAAAAGCAAAAAUAAUCAUGGAAUUUUUUGAGAAUGGAUUCUAGUGCAUCACUAGACUACUGGCCAUAGAAAAAAUUAAAAAAUUACUUAUGAGUAAAUAUAGGCCUACACUAUUUGGCAAAAAUAUAUGGAUGAGAAAUUUUAUCAUCGAAGAUUGGUUCCAUGUAUUUGGACCACUAAGAGGUUAUUUGAAAAAAUUCAAGAAUAUCAUAUCUUUGUUAUUUUAUUUGUGUUGAAAAAAUAAAUCUCAAACUUGAGUCAAGGAUAUGAUACACAUCGAGGGGGAUAAGACAAAAGUCUAAUAUAUGUUAAAAAUCACCUAUGAGGAUACAACCAUCUAAGAACUGGAGAUCCCAAGAACUAGGUCAGAGACAAAUGAAUCAUAGAGUGAUUUGGUUGAUAAAUAUGCACUACUGGAUUAUAUUGUCUAUCCCUAUGAUGUAAGUGCAUUUGUGAUCCUAUGACGAUAAGCGAGGUUAGAAUUUUUAUUCCCUUAAUGAGUUCUAUAGCCCUUAUGGGUGGGAUGUCUAAGUCAUAGAAGCAUCUUUGAUAGACUCACCUAUAUGAGUAUGGAAGUAUGGCCGCUUCCUAUGAGAAUUUGGACUGGUUCUCUAAAGUACUCAUGAAAAUCGGGAUAAAGCAUAAGGCCAUAAAUGUGCUGGCUUAUGAAACCUAUUUGAGAACACUGAAAGAUUCAUGUGUAUAAUACGAUUUCACGUGCCCUCAAGUAGUCAUCGUUUUAAUGCUAAAUCCACUUUGACUCUAGCACGGGAAUUGUUGAGCACUGAGUGAAGGUUUAAAGGCAUUGCCACCUUUAUUAUGCAUGAAUUUUUAAUCUUUGCCCUAUUAAGUGUUAAGUUUUAAAUAUUAUAUUUUUUUUUAUUAAAAUAAGUGGGGGAUUGUUGGAUAUUUUAAUAAAAAAAAUAUCACAUAUUUAUUUUGAAUUCAAAUAAAAUAAAUUACAAAUUCUUUAAAUAAAUUUUCAGUUACAAAUUGAAACAUUUAAAUGUGUAACUUAUGGGAUUUAUGUCUUGCUUUUGUAACUUAUGUAAUGAUUAGGUUUUAUGAAAUCAUUUAGUAAUUUUUUUUUACCGUUAUACAAUGAAUCUAGACUUUUCAAGUUGUAACUUAAAUAUGAGGUGUUAAUUCCUAUUAAUGUUGGUAUUUUAAUAUUGCUAAUUUCUUAGCCUAUAUAUAAGGCAUCUAUCAACCAAACCAAAUAUAUACUUUGUUAUCUCUAUACUACCUUCUAUUUUUCCUCCACUACUAUAAGAGGUUAUAGGACAGAGAACAGUGUUAGUGUGAGGUUUCUGUCUUGCUCCAAUAGUGUAGAUUGGAGUAGACUACAGUGUGCAAAAGGCUGGGCUGUUGUAUCCUGGAGGCGACGUGCUGAGAUCUACUACACCGGAGGAUACUCUGUAAGGACGCGAAUCGUCUUAAAGAGAGCGACUUAAUCCACGCCUCAACCCAUGCCAAAUCAACAUAUUUAUGGUACAAAUUAUUUGCAUUUUUAAUGCAAGAUUAAGGUAUGAAUUUUUGUUAAUUUAUUUGUUAAAUUUUAUUAGAGAAAUUAUUGUGACUUAUAUGAUUUAUUUUGGUCUAGAACCAACAUUGCCGGAGUAAGAUAAGACGAAGCUGCAGUGCGGUAGCCAAACAAGAAGAUUAUCUUGUCAGGAAAUACCACGGGUAAAUGGAAAAGGUGAUUUCCCACAAAUUGCCAGCAAUCAGAACUUGUUUACCACUUGACUUUGAUUAAAAUGGCGAAUAUUCAGGAUCAGCCAUGAGGUGAGCCUCCUCUCUUCUAAAUUUUAUCCCCUCUCCCCCCCCCCCCCCCCCACCCCAACACCUUAAAAAAAAGUGAAGUAAUGAGAACAGCCUAUAUAAAGGUAAGAGCAACUUGUUUACCAUUUAAAAUUACUGUAUGUCGUAGGAAAAAAAAUAAUCUAUUUGUCAUACUUGGAGGCCGUACCAAUAUUUUAGUACAGGUGCUAGGACAAUAAGUAAAUCAUGGAUUAUUUAAUGAGCAAAAUUAUUUGGAUGGCUAUCAAACUCUUGGAAUCGUCAAAUUUUGACCAUUGAACUAUUAAAUAUUUGGUUUUGACUACUAAACUAUCUAAAAUUUAAAUUUCAAGCCAUUCCGUUAGAUUUAAUCAUUAAACAUAACAAAUUUGAGUGCUUGUAUGAUUCAUGAGACAAAAAAAAAUGGACAUAUUUAAUGAUUAAAUUUGAUGGAAUAGUCUGAAAGAUAGUUCAGUCGACAAAACUCGAUGAUUUCAAAAAUUCAGUGGCCAAAACUCUACGAUUCCAAAAGUUCAGUGGCCAUCUAAAUAAUUUACUCAUUAUUUAAUUUCUCUGUAGUGGAUUCACUUACAUUUCAGUAUCAUAUAUUUAGUCAAUCCAAUAUGGCAUCCUUUGUGAAGUGUUCAUUGUUGGCAAUUUGGCAUGAAAUUUGAUUAAUGAUAACCUACAAUUUUCUCAUCAACCUUUGGUUAUAAUGACAUGUGAAUUCGAUAUCCUCUUGUAUAUGAACCAAUUGUUUUUUUUUUUUUUUUUCAAUUGGGAGGUAUCUUGACUUAGCCAAAAUUACUUGAGCGGGCCAGACUACUGCUUCCAGACUGUGAGAGUCCGCCCCAAGGAUCAUAACACGAUAGCUCCCAAAAGUCGAACCUGAGACCUGCUCCUAAAAAGGAGACUACGGAAACCAUUUGAGCUGCCGGGGGGCUUGUAUAUGAACCAAUUGCUUUUUUGUUGGGAGUGUUUUUCAAAAACUAGUUUUUCAAAUACAAUAAAAAUUUUUAAAAAGUACUCUAAAUGGCAAUCUAAAAAUUAGUUUAAAUUUUUUAAAAAUUUUUAAAAAUAUCUCAAAAUAUAUUCUAAAAACUCUUCUACUCUUAAAUAUCCCACAAUAUUUUCUGAAAAUAUCCUAAAAUAUAAUCUAAAAACUCUGCUACAGCAAAAUUUUUCAAAAGCAUCCCCAAAAAUAGCUAAUCCAAACGGAGCAUUAACAUAACUACAUUACCGGAGGGUUACUGGAAGUUUGACAACAAUCUGUUCUUGUGAGUUUUAACAUCUAUGAGUUUUUUAUUUCCAGUUUCGACGUAGUUUUUUUUUUCUUUUUUUAAAUUCAAGAAAGACUCUUAAGUUUUACAAACGGAGGAAACAAGGACUUGAAAAGUCAGCCAAAGACUUCACCGUUGCCUUAGCAAAUGUGCUAGUUUCCCUUCGUCCUAAGUUGGGAAUCGGAAUCAAUUUCGACCGCCUACGCGAUUGUGUUAGUACAAGAAUUAUUAUUGGACUGCUUUCUGGGUCACAUUUGUCUGUUGGUCUUGGGCCUAGCAUCAUUUGCAAUGCUGUCUAUUCAGCAUGGUUUCUCCAAACCCAACUAGUUUAUGUGUCGCAUUUUAGUUACAUUUACAUUUGAGUUUGGGGCUUUACAAGCAGCCUGGUUUUCGUUAAAGAGAUGAGGAAUACGAAAGAUUCGGUUCGUUGAGAUUUCCAGCGUCUCAAUAUGGGCCAAUUUUGCCACAAUUUCGGCUGUUAACAGCCCAAAUUUCUUUUCAAGUCCAUAAAAAAAAAAGGACUUCUGUGUAUGUGAAAAAGUUCCGUUCAGUAACUCUUAUUUAACAGGUAUUGUGAAUAAUCUAUAACUUGUCUGUUUUCGAAGCUUGUCUCAAGUUUCAGCCAAGAAUCAAUCAGACUUUGCAUGUAUAAUUUGAAAAAAAAAAUUGAAAAGAGGAAGAGUAUAUCAUGUUCAUGUGUUGUUUUCACUUCAAUAAUUUAGAUAGUUAGAUAUGUCAUUCACACGUGCAAAUCCCAUUGAGUGUCAAUUUCUUCCUCCAUUUUAUGUCAAUUAAUUUGUAGUAAUAUUGAGUUAUAAUUUUCACCAUUUAUGGGUUGAUGAGAAUUGCGAUUUAUUUGUAUGGUAAAAAAAAAUGUCAUUCACCCUUGUUUAAUACAUCCCUCGCCCCGGCCCAUACGUCUUGGCUUUGCAACUUUUCAAAUGAGGGGCCAUUAGCAUCCGGAAGACGCAGCUCGAUCAUUGGCGGGUGUCAACUGUCAAUGACCACAUAACAUUGAUUUUGACUCAAUCCAAAAACCAAAGUCUAAAUUUGCAUCUUGUCGCCCAAGCAAGAAGGCAAUAUAAAGCGAGGGAGGGAGGGCUGGCUGCUUGACAAUCACCUCAAGAAAUUAAGGAGCAAAAAAAUGUUGUUGAGUGAGAAGCAAGAAGCUCUGGUGAAGGAGUCAUGGGAGCUGCUGAAACAAGAUAUUCCCCUACACAGUUUUCGCUUGUUUACAUCGUGAGUAUUUUUUUUUUUUUUUUUGACAUGAUAAACUGUAUACUACAACUGCUUCUAUUCUACACUAGGAAAAGGGGAAUCUAAAGAGAUCAAGAUGGGUGUCUACGCACCCGCUAGCAAAACAUUUUUUGGAAAACCUGAAUAUUAGAAUGCAGGUCAAGAGAUUUAAUCUCUUGACCUACACUCAAAUAGAGUUUUUAAAACUCUUUUAAUAACCAACUACUCUAUAUUGUGAGUAUGCGCCACCGAUAUUUUGCUUUUCAUCAACUUUUUUACUGUCUUCAAUAACCUGAAUAUUAGAAUGCAGGUCAAGAGAUUUAAUCUCUUGACCUACACUCAAAUAGAGUUUUUAAAACUCUUUUAAUAACCAACUACUCUAUAUUGUGAGUAUGCGCCACCGAUAUUUUGCUUUUCAUCAACUUUUUUACUGUCUUCAAUAUAUAUAUAUAUAUAUGUAUAUAUAUAUAUAUAUAUAUGGUAGUAGUAAGACUAUCAUCCUUUUUAGCAUCAUUGCAUAACACUACCUAAAUCAUUAUUUUUAUGGUGAUGGUAGCUGAAUGUUUCUUUGAUUCAUGAAUAUUGUUUCUCUUCCUCCCUUGAUUAUUAGUAGUAUUUUUUUUUGGGGGGGCUAUGUUGACGGUUUAUAUUUUAUGGGGAUAUAAUAUAUGGUUAAGGAUCCUGGAGAAAGCACCAGGGGCAAAGGACUUGUUCUCAUUUCUAAGGGACACGGAUGAAAUUCCACAGAACAAUCCCAAGCUCAGGGCACAUGCUGCCAAAGUUUUCAGGCUGGUAUGUUGGCGUGCUUCAUUUCAUGUUUUCAUAAUUGUAAUUCUUGUACACUUUGAGAAAUGGCUAUAUAUUUGUGUAUAUAUCAAGCUUUUCUCGUCUCUCUCUCUCCAUAGCUAUGUAUAAACGACUCAUGUUCAUCAACUUGCGUAUAUAGUAUACACUGCCAUAAAUAAUCUAGAAUGGAAGUAUCUGCAUUGUAUUUAAUAUUAGUUGUUGCAGUUCUACUUGUUAGUCGCCCCAUUUGGUCCAAACACUAUUAGGUGGCUUCUAAAAGUUGAACAUAUUAGGUGGCUUCAAUCUACCUUGAUUCAUUCUUUUAUACUUCAUCAUUUUCUAAUGCCCAACACUAUUCAUUUUUAUUUAAUUUGUCCCUAGACAAAUUUUUAUCACCAACAACUGUGUCUAUUCUCUCCCUAAUUAUUGACUAUACUAUUUCUCCAGUUUUUCUUUUGACGGUCAUCAACAAAGAAUUGCGUAACUGCUGAUCCAAAUCUGACAAGAAAGAAACCACCAAUUACACCCUCACAGUGUAAUCUCAUGCAUCUAUCUAUCAACAUCGAAAUUCAAAAGAAAGGCAUCAAGCAAUGAUUAAACGGACAUGUCACACAUUGAUCUACAAAAUUUUAAAGCUUGCCAAUCUUGAAGAGAGAUAAGAAAACCAGAAGAGCAAAACGUACUAAUCAAAUCACUCAUUGGUUUAGUUUAAGAGAUCGAGCAUAAUUAACUAGAAGAAAUGGGCGAAGAUUUCCAUUUCUGAAGCACUUGCAAUGGCUGGAAGCUAGCUAGGUCUCAACUUCCUUCCUUCAGAUUGUCAUUAAUGUUCAUUACAAGGAUGUAUUUAUCUCCAGCAAGUAGUUUAACGAAAUCUGACGAGGUUAAUUGUAUACGACAUUAGACUUGCGAAUCAGUGGUGCAGCUGCGUGAGAAGGGCGGAGUGCUGAUUGGCGAUGCUACUCUCAAGUGGCUGGGAUCGGUUCAUCUCCAGAAUGGAGUCCUUGCGCCCCAUUUCGAGGUACUACCUACUAGGCCUAGUUCUGAAGCUGUCUGCAGUCCCAUUCUUAUACCUCUUCAUAAACUUUCAAGAAGUUUACACUAAUUAAUCUGCAUGCUUAUGUAUAAUAAAGUUUUAUUCCUUAAUUUAUUAAAAUUUGAUUCCUGCAUGAGACGUACGUAGAUGGUAAAAGAAGCACUGCUGAAAACGAUCGAAGAGGGCGUGGGAGAAAAAUGGAGCGAGGAAAUGGAGAAUGCAUGGGGAGAGGCCUAUGAUCACUUGGCAGCAGCGAUUAUAGGUGAGAUGCAAGCAGAGGCUGCUGCUUCAUCAAAGCCCGUUCCUUAACAUCGAUAACGUAUAAUCUACAAAGGAUGUCUUUACUCUUUAGUGAAAGCCUCAUCUGUGUGUCGUAUAUAACUCCCGGGAGAGGCUUCUGGAUAGUCCUUAAUGCGUUGUAAGAAUAAAUGAUAGUAAUAAGAAUAGAGCAUUUACCAGUGCAACGGAUCUUCUGUCCCAUACCCUGUGCCGCUCUCUGUCCCACUUUUUAUUAUAUUAUUAUUUUUCAUAUAUAAACAUCACGUUUAAGUUCUUUUUUGUUUCCUUAAAAUUUAAUAAUUAUUAAUUGAGUAAAAUAUAAAUACAGUAGUUUCAAAAAAGUAAUAUAUAAUAGAAAAUUAAAAAACAUAGCAGAAAAUUCAUAAAAAAUAUCAUUUUUUAUGCAUUUUGGUUUUUUGAGUUUGUUAAAUUUUGUGUAUUACUCAAUUAAUAGUUAUUGGAUUUUAAAGAAAUAAGAAAGAACUUAAACGUGAUGUUUAUAUAGGAGAAAUAACAAUAUAAUAAAAAAUGAGACAAAGAGUAGCACAGGGUGUAGAACAGAAGAUCCAUUGCGAUUUACCAGUGAUGAAUAAUAGAAGCAAGAAGUGGUCCAAAAUAAUCAUGGAAUGUAUCGACUAAAUUUUACUACAUCAUGAAGAAAAAAUUGCAGACUGGACCACAGUGUUCCACAUCUCAUUGUCAUGACUGAGUGUUCCACAAUCUACAUGAUACUAAUAUAUUUGUAAAAACCAUCCGAAGGAGCCCGGUUGGAUUUCUGCACCGACUGAAUUGAACUGCUUAUUAAAAAUGGUUUGAGGUCUGAUUAAUUCUCUGCGGCUUCAAAUCUUCGUUGUCUCAUUCUCUUCAACUAGGCAACAAGAAAAAAAAAAUCGACAUUUAAUUUGUUUUUCUCUCCUUCUACCUGUACAAAUACAAUUGUGGAUUGGAUAUGCAUCACACGUCCAGGUAGCUGACCGGUCAGCUUUGCCCCAUGAGAAAAUUAACUGAGGAUUAUUUAAGUUUUCUGUAUAAUGGAUUUACAUUUUUAUUUUUUUAGUAUGAAGUCAAUCAGAAGAGGAUGAGUUCAAUCCAGUAGGCCAUCUCCUUUAUGAAAUGGUACGUGUCUUGGCCGGAAAAUUGAGUCAAGAUAUUAAUGUAUUUUAUUAUGCUACUAUAUUAUAUCGUCCAACAUUUCGUUGUAUAUAUGACAAGUGCACUGGGAUCCCAUUAAAAUUAAGCUCUUGCAUCUGCAGAAGAGACAUACGUGUCGUGUGAUGCAUUCAGACUAUCAAUCACCACAAGGCUAUUAGGUGUUUGACAGCAACCCAUUCUUGGGAAUUGAAAUUUACUUUAGUCGACAAGAUCAAUUUCAACGGUGUACGUGAUGUGAUCAUCCUAUAAUACAAAAAUUGGUGUGUGGACUCCUUGUGGGUUGAAAAAGCAAUCGAGCUACUCAACAUUGGAAUCGAAUUCGACUCGAUAAGGGUUUAUUCGAAUUUGAUCUGUCAAUUAAUUAUGCCAUAAUUAAACAAUAUUUUGUGUUUAGUAAACUUUUAAAUUUAAUUUGAAUUUGAAUUGAUUGAUAUAAAAUUAGAAUUUACAAGUAAAAAAUUUGAGCUACUUGAUAUUUAAUUUCGACUCUGUGAAUAAACAUAUCAAAUCUGAAUAAAAAAAAAAACUAAGUUUGAACACGAUUUUAAACUUGUUAAAAUAAUCAAAUAAAUUUUAAGCAUUAAAAUAUUCGAUUUAAUUGUGCUCAUUAUCACUCCUAUGACUCCGUGCUUUGAUCCGCUUUGUCUGUUGGGCUUGGCCCUAAACUUCAUAUAAAUGUACGUCGAAACCCAAAUGAUUAAUGCUUUGUGUUUUAGUUGUUACUUUCAAAUCUGGGCUUCUACAAGCACGCUGAUUACACAAUGGAGAUAGCCUUAAGGAAAAGUUGAAAUUUCUAAUAUUGUCUGAACAUGGGCCAAUGGUCUCCCAGAGUUUCGGCUAUUUAUUUAUUAACCUUUUUUUUUUUUUUUUUUGUCUUUGUUCUAAAGAAUUGACUUCUUCUGUAAUUAAAAAAGCAACUGAUCUCUUGAGUAGCCCUAUCUAAAAAGGGAAACAGGAUACUACGUGAUAAUAGGGAGUGUGUUUGCAUUGAAGAUUAUUUGGAAUAAUUUUUUUGAAAAAAUGUUAUAGUUAUAUUUUAUAUGAUGUGAGAUAAAAAUGUAACUGAUUUAAUAAAAAAUAAUUAAAAAUAUAUUUAUAAUGCAAUCAAAUAAUUAUAAGAACCUAUCCAAGCACACCAAAGUAAUGAUUUCCAAGCUUGCUUUAACUUUUAGCUAACAAAACUAAGUACACCGUGUACGCAUAUGUAACCAAAAAAAAGGGAAAAAUAUAGUAGAGUAAUUCUUAUGCACAUUGACAUUGUAUAUACUGUCACGAUUAGAUACAAGAUACAUAUGCAAAAUUUAAUUUUUAAAUUCGAAUUUAAGUUAUGUGUCAUACAUCCAAAGAUGAAAAUAUAUACACUGUCAGCGUAUAGAGGAUUAAUUCAAUAUAUUAUGGAUAGUUUUGGCAGCAAUGAUUUGUGAACAACCUUCUUGUGUCUUCACUUUCUGCAUUUAUUUCGUCUUCAUUUUUUAAUACAAUUUGCGAAAUCACCCGGACAAAGAUCGAAAAACGACGGCUGGAUCUUUUGCAGGUGUGUACCACAUAUGAUCUGGCCAACAAAUGAUGCCAACAUCAAGCUUCCGGAAACCAUCCAAAAGUCUCUUGCCCAUUGCACCUCGUAUAUCCGUGUGAAUAUGAUACCUUAUCUCUCAAAACCCAAUAUAAAGCGAGGGAGCGGCUAUUAUACAAUCUGCUCAAAAAAGUUCAGGGAGAGGAGCAAAAAUGGCGUUGACUGAGAAGCAAGAAGCUCUGGUGAAGGAGUCCUGGGAGCUGCUGAAACAAGAUAUUCCUCGACAUGGUUUUCGCUUAUUUGCAUUGUAAGUGUGCACCAAGAGUUUUCGUCCAAUUUCUGGUGUGCAUUCUUUUAAUUUUUUUUUUUUUUUUUUUGAUAACAAGAAAGUAGUGGGAUUUAAGAAGCGGGAAAGGAAAUGAAAGGCAUUUGAAUUUAAAAUUUCUAAUUCUUGACCUCUCAACUAGUAUAACUAAUGGAUCAAAAUCUCCUCGUCGAAUUUCUAGUUUGCAUUAUUGUAACUUUGUUUGAGUGUAUGUGUAUGUACCUAAUGCAGAAGAUGUUGCUUGUACCCGGUAAGAAAAUGGUUUAACAAGUUGAUGUUCUUCCAUAUAUAAUACUACCUAAACCACUAUUUUAGGAUCAUCAUAGCUGGAUAUUAAUUUCUCUGAUUCAUCAAUAUAGUUUCUCUUCCUCCCUUGCUUAAUUUCUUUUUUUUUUUUUUGGGUUACGGGCUAUAUGAUCAAGGAUCCUCGAGAUCGCACCAGGGGCGAAGGACUUGUUCUCAUUUCUAAGGGACACAGAUGAAAUUCCAGAGAACAAUCCCAAGCUCAAGGCACACGCUGCCAGAGUUUUCAAGCUGGUAUGUUGGCUUAAUUCAAUUUAUGCUUUCAUUUUCGUAAUUAAUUUUUGCCCACCAGCCGAAAUGGCUGAAUCGGUUCAAAAUUCAAAUGACAAACUAUUUAUCGAAAGAGACUUUCACUACCUCGUUAUGUGUGGAUAUACUACAUAUAAUUCCCCUGUUCCUUCUGAUGGGUAAUAACCAAAAAUGAUUGAACGGUUGAUUGAAGCUGACUAGAAUCCACCAACCACACUCUCAUAAUUUAAUUUCAGGCAUCUAUCUAUUGAUUUGGAAAUUCGAAAGAGAAGCAUCGAGCAAUGAUUAACACGGACACGUACAAGUUUAACGGGUUAUCAUUCUUGGAGAGAUUAGAAAAGCAGGAGAAAUAGGUAGUAAACUAUACCGUCUAUAGUUUAGUCUACAAGUGCAGAACAAAAGUUAAAGAUAAACAUUUCAAUUGAAGACCGCUUGCAAAUUGAUCAUGCAUAUAUUGCUGUAAAUGUCCAUUACAGUAAUGAUUAUCUAUCUCUAUCAGUUAGUCAACUAGAAAUAUGACAAGGUUGUAUACAACAUUAGACUUGCGAAUCAGCAGUGCAGCUGCGCGAGAAGGGUGAAGUGGUGGUUGCCGACACUACUCUCAAGUGGUUGGGAUCUGUUCACCUCCGGAAAGGAGUUCUUCAACCCCAUUUUGAGGUAAUGGUUCUAAAGCUGGCUGUACUAUUUUAAUCUCCAGAACUGCAAGAAGUGUCCAGCAUUAACAUUAGUAUGUGCGUGAUUAUGACAUUCCAACCUUAAGUCAUAAAUAAGUAAAAGUCUUCAAUUUAUUCAAAUUUCAUCACGAAGCAAUUGAUGAAGAGAUUUAAAGUGUGAAGUUUACGCGAGACAUAGGUCGUGAAAGAAGCAUUGCUGAAAACGAUCGGAGAGGGCGUGGGAGAAAAAUGGAGCGAGGAAAUGAAGAAUGCAUGGGGAGAAGCCUAUGAUCACUUGGCAGCAGCAAUUAUGGGUGAGAUGCAGGUUGAGGCUGCUGCUUCAUCAAAGCCCAUUGCAUAACUGCCAAAGCAAAAUCUACUGCAAGAAUCUGUGUGAAGCUUCAUCUGUGUAGGCGAGGCUUCUGUGACAGUGCUCAUUGCUCAAUCAACGCAUGCAUGCGUUAUUGUAAAAAUUGGCAUGUCGAUUUAAUAUAUAUAUAUAUAUAUAUAUAUGUAUGUAUGUAUAUAUCAAAAUGGAAAGACUACUGGUAGAGGUUUGGCCAUUAUAUACAUUAGGGAACAAGGUACAGUCUACAUUUGUUCGAUUCUUAAAAUUUGUACGAAGGUGAAACAAAUAAAACUAACAUAAUUUUUAUGCCACUGCAAAAGAAAGAAAUAAAAAGCACUACAACAAGGAAAAUUUCCAAAAUCAACUCCAUUUAUUUGAACUUGUUUUUCGUAAACCUGUUUUUACAUAAUUUAGAAAACAUGUUUUACUGUCACGCUUUAACGCACAGAUAAUUAAUUGGUGACAUCGACAGGAUGUUGCAUCGCAAGGUCUUCCAGCUAAGUCAUUUCUUCUUCUUCUUCUUUUUUUUUAAUUAUACCAGCGUGUCACAUCAAAAUUUAAAAAUUCAUACAAUCAAAAUUCACCGACACAAUAUCGGCCCUGUUUGGAAGCUUGGUUUUUUACCAAGUUUGUAUAAAACUAGUUUUUUAACAACUUUUGCUACAGGAACCCCAAAAAACUUAUCAAAAUUUUUAACCUACACACUUAAAAUAUCCAAAACACAAAAAAAAAAAAAAAUCCCCUUCCCCUUUUCUUCUUCUUCCUCCCCCACCACCACCUCCAUUGCCGGCUCCAUCACCAAUUUCCGGUGCCGGUGCGGUCUUUUUUUUUCCCUUUUUUUUCCCUCUCCCCCUCUUCCUCCCCUACCAUCAUCCUCUCUUGUCUUUUUUUUUUCUCUCUACGUCCGGCGCAGAGGGGGGUGGCAUUGAUUCCUUCAUAGACUUCAACUAUUUCUAGCCUAUAUGUGAAUGUAACCAUUUUGUUAUAUUUGUCCUCAGGAAGAUGAGAUAAAAUCUUGGAAGAAAGGAGGUAACGGGGAAGAAGAAGAAGAAGAAGAAGAAAAAAAAAAAGAGAAAAAAAAAGAAAAAAGGAAAGAAAGAAAAAGAAAAAGAAAGGGAAAGAAAAAAAAAAGUUUUUCACCUUACAAAAACUUCUACAAAAUUUUUCACCUUACAAAAAUUUCUACAAAAUUUUUUUAAAAACUUCUACAGUGCACUACAGUAAAGUUUUAGACAAACUCCAAAAAAACUCAGGGCUUGUUUGGAAGCUAGUUUUUUGCCUAAGUUUUUUACCUACUAGUUUUUUAACAACUUUUGCUACAGGAACCUUAAAAAACUUCUCAAAGUUUUUUAUCUACACACUUAAAAUAUCCAAAACAUAAAAAAAAAAAAAAAAUCCCUUCUCCUUCUUUCUUCUUCCUCCCCACCGAACCCACCACCUGCAUUUGAGCAACCUCUCAACAGCCUCUCUAUAAACUCCAUCGCCUCUGAACGCCCCCAUCGCCAAUCCCACAUCCCCGCUUUGCUCCUCCGUCUCACUCCCUCCUUCGCGACCACCACAUCCACUAGCAUUUAUGGGCCUCACAACAACCAACGUCGCCCCUUCCAAUUUCACCCCAUUUGAUAGCUCCAUCCGCGCCUCGUGCUUUAUCCUCAUCCUAAUUGCAGGCACAGUCGUCCGGGGGGAGAGGAGUGGCGGGGGCAGAGGGGGAAGGGGCUGAGGGGGUGGCGGGAGAAGAGUUGCAGGGUAGAGGGCGGCGGAAGGGCUGAGGGAGUGGAGGGAGAGAGGGAGAAAGGAUGCCGUGCUGCAUAGGGAGUGGCGGGGAGGAUGUAUGAGGCGUGGCCGUCCAAGGGGCGCGGGCAGAGGGGGCGUAGGAACGGGGAAAGGAGUGGGAGGGGGGGUGGUGGAGAUAGGGGAGGAAAGGGUGGUGGCGGGGGAGGGAGAGGGAGGGGGAGAGCGAGAAAAGAAAAAAAAAAAAAAGAGAGGUGGUGCUAGCAGAGGAGCGGAGGUGGGAGGCAGAGGUAACGGGUAAGGGGAAGAAGAAAAAGAAGAAGAAGAAGAAGAAGAAGAAAAAUGAAAGAAAGAAAAAGAAAAAGAAAGAGAAAGAGAAAAAGAAAGAAAAAGAAAAAAAGAAAAGGAACAAAAAAUUCACCCUACCAAAACUUCUACAAAAUUUUUCACAUUACAAAAACUUCUAUAAAAAAAUUUUUUACCUUACAAAAACUUCUACAAAAAUUUUUUAAAAACUUCUACAGUGCACUACAGUAAAGUUUUAGACAAACUCCCAAAAAACUCAGGUUCCAAACAGGCCCUCAGAUUCCAAACAGGCCUAUCAUUUGCGUAAUGGACAUGUUUGAUUAAUUGGCUCGGAACGUAGGCUGCAGUACCUUUUUGCCAUGUGGCCGAAGGCCACUGACUGCUCGAGAGAGAUCGGGCCCACCAGGAUGAACAGUCUAUUGGGUAGAGUAGCGAACAGUGCCCGGAGGCAUUGUUGAAAUUUGAAUUUAAAUUGAAAUUCGCCAGGUGCCAAAUUGUGGCCAAGCCAAGAAAUGAAUUGACACCUACAAUGGUAAGCUCGAUCAGUCUUGAGCAUUAGUCUAAAAGAACUUUAUGUGGUCAUUUUGUUAACGAAAAAAGAAGAUAAAUUUCAGAUGAUAAGAAAUAAAACAAAUAUGAAACGCAAAAGUUUCGGGGUUUGGAUUAGCCACUACAAUCAAAGAUGCAUAGGCGGUCAAACUUUUCAACAAGUUUUGUCACCCACUUCUAUUAACUAAAUAGGGUCCGUUGAGUAAGCAUAAUUGACAAAAAAAAAAAAAAAAUUAUUCAACUUACAUCAUAAACAUAAUUUUCAAACACCUUUUUAGCUCAUAUAUAUUACAUUACAAAAAUAUUACAAUGUUAUUCGAAACAAUUUUUUCAAAUAAUCUCCUAUCCAAUCUACCAUCAUUUUCAUCGACAUCUCGUCGCUUUAUUAUUAUCCAAUCAUGUAUCGUUAUAAGUUACUUAAAAGUGAUUAAAACUAGUCCUUCAGUGCGUGCAAUAGGACUGAUUGGAGAAAGAGAAGCAUAAGAUGCAAGUCAGGAGUUAUCCAGCUAGUACCUUAAUUAUAUUAACGAAUCCCUCAAACUAAUGUGUGACAAACAAAUUCCAUUCAUGAAUUUAACAAAUCUUUCCUUUUAUGAGUAACUCCUCAAUCUAAAUUCACAGACUCUUCCUUGAACCGCUUUUAUGUGUAACUCCUCAAUCUAAAUUCACAGACUCUUCCUUGAACCGCCUUAAUUAAAGAUUCAAGAGUGUCUCUUUUACAACUCAUGGAUUCCCUUUCUUCAAUAUCUAAAAGAAUUAUGGACCUCUGUUAAACUCUUCGCUUCUUGACAUAGCCCUCGUGACCCCUGCCAGACUUUUGGUACCUUUUAGUCCAACGCUAAAAAACAUGGAACAAUUUAUUGGUCCAUCACUGCCAAAAAAAGCUACUUGCCAAAGAGUAGUUUAAGCUCAUAACAAAAAGUUCUAAUUUCUUAGACUGAUUAAACUGAUGAAGGUGGCUUUUUGGGCUAAUUUCUUAGAAUAUUUGUAUUAAAAAAAAAACCAACCGUCAAAUACACCUCUGACAUGAGAUAUUUCUCAUUCUAUAGCUGUCGUGCUGACUCAGCACGACAGCAUAAUUAAAAAUACCCCUGCAAUCUCACUGCAGACGUCUGCAAAAAUUUCAGUGGGGCAACCGUUGUCAGACGCAGACAUGCUGACUGGGCACGUCUACGGCCGACACAAAUCAUUACUUUCAAAUGUCAAAUGCAGACAUGCUGAUUCGGCACGUCUGCAGCCGACACAAAUCAGUGGCAGUCUGUUUGUGUCAGACGCAGACAUGCCCAGUCCGCACGUCUGCGUCUGACAUUUGAAAAAAAAAGUUGAUGCAUUGCCAUUUAGAACGUCACAUAAGCUGGGGGAUGGAAAUGACCUUCAUCGUUAAAAAUGGAAAGCAUCCGUAGGAAAAAUUGCUGCCUCCACCUCCCGACAUGCCACUUUGCUAAUGUUGCUUAGACAAAAUAUUACAAGUCUUGGAAUACUAUGGUUUGCAGCGGCUCUAAAGUCAGCUUGUCAGUGAGACACAAAAAUAAUGUAAACUAUGAAUGACACAAAGAAUCCGGUUUCCAACUACGGUUUCUUUCUUUAGUAUUUGCAAGUAAUCUUAAGUAGAUGGUGUGACUUCAGUCUCGUGAAUAAUAGUUUUUGGCACCUUCAAGAAUGAUACAAAAAAAAAAAAAGAAAUAAAUCCAUGCAUCAAAUGCAGGAUGUAAUAUGUUACUAAAGAAAAAAAAAAUGCUUAAUACGUUAUUUUAGUUCCUUUUUUUUUUGUUUAUGUUUGAUUACAUUUUGAAUGAAAUCAAGUUUACACUUUAUUGUGUAAUUCAUUGUGUUUCAAUUACGGUGGUAAUUAUUAAUACAAAAGAACCUUCAGUUAUCUUUAGUUAUAUUUGUAUAAUGAUGACAAUAAGUAUAAAACAAAAAACUUCCUAACUAAAACUCUUUAUCCACCCAGAGUUGGUAAAAAAUAUAUUAAUACUAUUGAAAUAGAUUGAUACUGACGAAUACAAAGAAAAUAUGAAUCAAAAUCAAAGAAAACAAAAACUACAAAUCAACAUAAACGAAAAAAAAAUUACAAAUAGGAUUAAAAGAAAAGAAUGAAAAGGAUAAACCCACCUGCAUCUUUGCUGAUGAAGUUGCAAUUACGAAGAUGAACAGCCAAUUAGGAAUAAUUAAGGUGGAAUUUUUUUGUCCCAUUAUUAACAAAAGUGAACACUCAAAAAAUUAAUACUAUUGGCUGCUCUGACGCUCAAUGUCUCCGUAUAUUGUUCUCCUUUAACACUUUUUUUGUAUAAAAAGCAUAGUAUUACGUUUUUACUAUAACAAAAAUAUGAGUAUUCAAUUAUUUUGGUUAAAUAUUAUAGAUCAAUAUUUGAUUCGUCAAAGUUUGAGUUAUAAAUUAUUUACAAUAGUUCAAAAAAUGUUUUAAAAUUAUAUUAGAUCCAUAGUUUCAAUGUAAAUAAUAUUUUCAAAAACCACUUUAAAGAAAAAAUUAUAAAGUUAACGUGUUAACAAUCAAUAUUUUACAAAAUACCUUAUUGAAAUGGACAUAUAAAAUUUUGAGAGAAUAUAAUCAUGUGCAAAGCACUUGAGGUAUUACUAAUAUAGCAAAUCUAAAAAUAAAUUGAUGUAAAAAAUCAAUGAAUAUAAUAAUAACAUUGCAACAUCAAAACAUAUUCCAUCCAUCUUGAUUAUUAGUAGUACAACCCAAUAAAUCUGUGCACGUGUUUUACUUGUUAGACGUGAUGAAAGAAUACAAGACCAAAUAGAAACUUAGAUCUGAUGUAAAAGAUGUAAUAAAUUCCAGUCCAAAAUCAUUAGCACUAUCUAAAAUCACUAUUUUAGGCUCGUGAUAGCUGAAUAUUGUGUCUCUUUCUUCCUUGAAUAAUUUCUUUUCUCUUGCCAAUUUCACGGUUAAUAUCUUGUUGCUACAUGGUUAAGGAUCCUGGAGAAAGCACCAGAGGCAAAGAACUUGUUCUCAUAUCUAAGGGACACCGAUGAUCCACAGAACAAUCCCAAGAUCUGGGCACAUGCUGCCAAGGUUUUCAAGAUGGUGUGUUGGCUCAAUUCAUUUUCUGUUGUCAUUUUCGUAAAUUUUGCCCGACUUUGCGAAAUGGCUAAAUGGAUAUUACCAUAAGCAACAAUAAUAAAUUUAUGUUGUCAUUUCUUGUCUUCCACCAUCCCUAUAAACAACGAGUGUUCAAUUGUUCAUCAACCUGGCGUAUGCUACUACCACAACAGGAAAGGUUGUUUUUAAACUGAAAAAAAUAAACAUUGGGUCGUGUCUAUCUUCCAUGAUUUGUUGGUAUUCCAUUUUUAUGCUUCAUCAAUUUUAAAAGCACCAUAACUUUUAAGACUUUUGGCUCUGAAUCUUCUUCUUUGUUUACUAGUAUUUUUUUUUUCUCUGAAGAGCUAUACCCUUGAACAAUUUUUUUCAUUAUCUCGUUGAUGAUGGUUUCCACUUUUUCCUCUACAAGUAUGAUGGACUAUAUGGGUGCAUAAUGCACUUAUAUGAUCCGAUGGUGAUUCAGUUCCCGUCGAUUUUCCGUGGUUCUGUUGGGUUAUCCCCUAGAGUAGGUUAAAGUAGGAGUAGAUAGAGGACGACAAUUGAUUAAAAAAAAAAAGUAUGAUGGACCAUAUUGUUUAUUCUCCUAUUGUGAACUGUUGAUCCAAAUCUGACAAAGACCACCAAUUACACUCAUAAUUAUAUUUCAGGCAUCUCUAUCUGUCGAUAUUAAAAUUCAAAAGAGAAGCAUUCAGCAAUGAUUAACAUGGGCAUGUACAAAUUUAACGGGUUGUCAUUCUUGGGGAGAUUAGGAAACCAGUAAAGCAAUACGAGUAAUUAUUGUUUAUGGUUUAGUUUACAUGUGGAUACCAAAAUUAAUUGGUGAAGAUAUUCCACGUACUUGAAAGCACUUGCAGUGCUUGGAAGCUAGAUCUCAAGAUCCUGCAAAUUGUUAUGGAUAUAUAUUUAAGUAGAAAUCUGACAAGGUUGUAUUGUACACGAGAUCAGACUUGCGAAUCAGUAGUGCAGCUGCGUGAGAAGGGCAAAGUGGUGUUUGCCGAUACUACUGUCAAGUGGUUGGGAUCUGUUCAUCUCCAAAAGGGAGUUCUUAAAUUCCAUUUUGAGGUACCACUAGUUCUAAAGCUCUGUCCUAAUGCUAAUAGUGGUGUCUCUUGAAUUUUGAUGGAGUGUAACUGAUAGAUAUAUUAAUUAUAUGCUAAUGUGGAAAUACAAAAUCCAUUCUUGAUCAUAAUUUAACAAGCAAACAUGUAGGAAUCACUUCAUUCAAAGUUUUUAUUACGAAGCAAUUAAUAAAGAAAGUAAUAAAUUUGUCAAUUUUACGUGAGACAUAGGUUGUGAAAGAAGCAUUCCUGGAAACAAUCCAAGAGGGCGUGGGAGAAAACUGGAGCGAGGAAUUGAAGAAUGCUUGGGGAGAAGCCUACGAUCACUUGGCAGCAGCAAGUCAAGGUGAGAUGGAGGCAGAGGUUCGUUAACGUCCAGAUGUAAAAUCUAUGCAAUGACCAGAAAUGUUUGUGCCGGCGCGUGGUAUCUUUUUUUUUUUUUUUUUUUGAAACGAUAUUUGAUUUUAUUGAUGUCAAAAGCUGUAUAAUUGCGAGCCAGGGUUUGAGUUGAAAAUAAAGUCAGUGAACUUGACACUAACGAAGUAAGAUUUCCUCGUCUAGCGUAAUACCUAAGGCAAAAGAGUUAAUCUUAGAGAUUAUAUGAUUCUUAUCACUUCUAACUAAACAAAAGGAGCACAUUUGAAACACCACUCUUAAUUGAAGAAUAUCUUCCAUCAAAAUCUGUUGUUGGCAAGAGUGUGGUAUCUGUUUAGUUAAAAUUAUUGCAUGAAGUAAAUUUGUAUUUGUUGAUUUGAGUUGCAAAUUUUGAUUGUUUUAUAAGCAAAUUAUGCAUUUUUUCUGGGUUUAUUUUUUAUUGUUUAAAUAAAAUUUUUGGAUAUUUUAAAAAAAAUAUUAUGGUUGUUAUCUAAUUGUAAUUUUUUUACCAUCUUUUUCUUAUGAGAGUUACUAUUUUAGUUUUUCUUUCAUGCUUUUUGUUAAUUUCGUCCUGAGCCUUUGUGUUUUUUCUGGAGCAAAUAGUUGUAUGUCAGUAUGGCCAUUAUCUUUUUGCUAUUUUUGCUUGCGAAAUGUUGGCAAAAGACAAAUUUGAAUUGCUCUUUGGAAACUUCGUUUUUGAGUGAAGAAAUAGCUCAAGGACAGGAUUUAAAUCUUCCAACGCAAACCAAAGGAAGUUUACAAAGAAAAAAGUAAUAGACAUGUCCAAAAAGGCACCAAAUAGCUGAUCAACAAAACAAUAUAACAGGAAAAACUUAAGACAGUGACUUAAAGCUUAGAGAUAAGUAAAAAUAAGAUAAAAAAAAAAAAAAAGAAGAAGCAACAGGCAAGAAACCAAACAGCAACAAAGAUUGAAUGUAAUGUACACACUAUGUAUAAUAUAUAGUGAUGUACAUACUAAAGAUGCAUAAAGAAAACAAAAGAAAGGCGGGAAGAAAAAGUGGAAAACCUGAAGAAGCAGGUUGAAGUUAAAAAACCAAUGCAGAUGAAGAGAAAAGAGCAAAUGUCUUCUGGCGCUCUUUUUUCCCCCAGUAAAACUGAAACCAAAUACUCCCUCCGUCCCACUUUGAUAGUUCUGUUUUCCUUUUUCGUCUGUCUCAAAUUGCAGUCCACUUUUCAAUUGAAAAAUGUAGUCGUAUUUUAAUUUUUCUAAAAUACCCUUAUUCAAUAUAAGUUGUUGCUACUAUAAACUUACCUCAUUUAAUGAGAGUUGAUUCUUUUUUAACCAUCAAUUCAAGUUCCCAUAAUGUUGUACCAUAUUUAAUAUGGGGGUAUUUUAGAAAAAUAGCAAUCUAAAUUUAUUUUUUCAACAAAGCUAACUACUUUUUUUUUAAACUGUGUGAAAAAAGAAACAGGACUAUUAAAGUGGGACGGAAGGAGUAUUAGGGUUGAGUGAUAAGCAAAUCCCUAAUUGGUCCGUGGAACUUGAACCUGGAGAUUGGGCUUUUCCUUUGCCAAUGGGAUGGGAGUUGCCGAAUGGCAGUAUUGGGUAGAUUUAAGCUCAAGCCGGGGUCCACGCCAACGACUGAUUGCCCAAUCUAGCACUACCGACAUACAUUACGAAAUAAAAUAUAGCCAACGACUGAUUGCGCGCAGAACUUGACUGAUUGCGCGCAGAACUUGACUGCAAAUUUAUGCACAGAAUCAUGACUAAACUAGGGCUUGUUCUCGGUUGUUUUAAAUUUUACAAAAUCUGAUUAUAGAGAAUAAUCAGAAUUAGCAAAAAAUACUCUUUAAAUGAUUAUAGUUUUUAGCUUUUUAUUGAUUUAAAAAAUCGAUAAUCAAAAUGCAAAAAAAUUAAGAACAUCAUAAAAAUUGAUUAUCUAAAAUCAGUAUCUGUCAUCAACCGAGGAGAAGCCCUUAUUCAAUUAGUUGGUGACGUAGAUAGUACUCAUAUUAAUUGGCAGUUUGCAAGGUCUUCCAGCUAAGUUAUUGCGAUCCUAUAGUCAUAUAAUUUUUUUUAAAAAAAAAAAAAUUGCUGCAAUGAAAAUUCACCAGCAUAUGUGAUGAUAUAUAUCUUUGUGAAAGCUCCAAUGGCCACCAAGCCAAGGAACUUAGGGCUGCAAACGAACCGAGCGGUUUGGCUCGCGAGGGCCUCGAGUCAAGUUCGAGGUCGAACUCGAGUUCAAAAUAUUAAACUCGUUAGGCUCGCGAGCUCGAGUAUGUAUAUAUAUAUAUAUAUAUAUAUUAUUUUAAUAGUAAAAUUACAUAUAUUCUUAAUAUUUUAUUAUUUAUUAAGAAAAAAGUAUUAUUUUAUUUAUUUUUUAAAAAAUAAAAUAAUUAUUUUUUAUUUUUUCGAGCUCGAGCUCGAGUUUGGCUCAAAUCGAGUCAAGUUCGAGCUCGAGUUUUAAAUUGUUAGCUCGUCAAAUUCGAGUUCAAUAAAAAUAAGUCAAGACUCGACUCGAUUAGGUCAAAACUCGACUCGACUCAUUUGCAGCCCUACAAGCAACGAAAGAUAUUAAUUGAAGUGGGGAAUGGGAGUGGACGCGGAAUGGUAAACAGACUUAAUCUUGGACGCUCAUCCAAAAGAACUUCAGGGGGUCGUUUUGUAAACCACAAGAGCAAAUAAACACUCCAAUUUUCAACUGAUAAUAAGAUACAAAGCAAAUUUGAAGCGGGGGUUGGAUUAGCCACUACAGCCGAAGGCGCCUACACGGUGAAAUUGAUUUGUACCUUAGAUCUGCACGGUGAAAUUAUGAUUUGUUUUCUGAAACUCUGCAUAGUAUAUAUUGGUUUUUUCUUUUUUAGCUUUCAUACUCGAGAGAAUGAUAUUGACAAAAUACGGACGAAACUUAUUUAUGUACCUUGGAUUGGCGCAGCAACUACCGUGAAAUGGCGAGCCAGCAGCCAAGGAGUAGGACCAAGCAAGGUGGUCGCGCGACUGGACUACCAAACAUUCAGAUUAUUAUCAAUAAAUAAAGUCCGUAUUGUCUCUAGUUGGAUUCAACUUUAAGACUUUGAAUCUUCAAACUGUCCAAGGCUGAAUUACACAUGCAUGGGAAAUUCAGACUUCAGAGUUUCAGUGCGGACGGAUUCAGUAAAUAAAUUUCCGUAUAUAUAUGGCCACCACCAAAAAAGCAUUUAAGGUUUGGUAAGGCUUGGUGAGACGAGGAGUCAGGAUUCAAACCUUAUUUCUUAUUAUUUACCAAUAAAAUGUGACGGGUCACUUUAAGUGGAUGCGUAGUACACUGGUUUGGGUCGAUAGAUGGUUCAAUUUCCUUCGAUUUUCUUUUGAAUCUCUUCAGGUCCCCUUUUCUAUAGUAUAAAAUAAAUGUAGAUCUAUCGUGUCUGGCAAAAAAAAAAAAAUAAAUAAAAAAUCAGGGAUUGGCAUUCAUGCAAGCAUGUCCAAGUCCAUGAGGUCAUUCAUGAUUCAACCUAUAUGCAAUUGACCAUUACCAAAGGGCGGGGAUGAGCAAGGGAACCCAUUUGGUCAAGGUAGGUAGCCACCAUAAGCCCACACAAAUCUAAUCAAUCCAACAAGAAUUAGUCAUUACUCAUUACUAAUUAUGGUCUAGAAGCUAUCGCGAUGAUCUUCACAGUUUGGCCAGUGGCCUGUGGCAUUUGCUGUAUAAGAUGUUACGUGCAGGUCGAUUGCUAUUGCUAGGCUGGGAGUGUCGAUUUCUUGCCAAAAGUUGCUCAUCAGGACCAUUAACGCGCAAUUCUAUGUGCUCAAGCAACCUUCGGUGCAAGUUACAGCGAUUAGUUAAAUCAAAAAUUGAUGGACAUAUCAGCAUAAAAAGAAAAAAACAACGUCAUUUGAUACAGAACUCUUAUUGAAUUGCCAUUCCUAAAUGGUAAUCCAUCAAUUUUAAUGCGUGUGUGUUGCGUUCUACUUUUCUACAUUUGCGGCCAAUUCAUUAAUCAGUCAAACUUAAUAAAAAUAAAAGAAAUUAGGAUUAACAAUUAACUUGUCAUUUCAUAUAUUUGAACCCCACCAGUGUAUUUCUAAUAGCAGCAUGACGUAUUAAUUCAAAUAACUAGGUCUAGUAAAGUCGCUAUUGGUAAUUAUUUCAGGUAACUUAAACACGAGUUUAAUUAAAUAUUAUUGAGUGUGUUUGGAUAUAUAGUAAAUUAUUCAGACAAAUUUAUUUGUUUGCAUCACAAAUCAAUUUUUUAAUUAUUUUUUUAUCUCACAUAUCAUAUCAAAAAAAUAUUACAGUAUCUGUUUUUAAAAAAUUAUCGCAAAUAAUUUCUUGUCCAAGCACACUCGUGACAAUUGGAUAAGGAUUAGGAAGCUUAGUGAGACAAAAUGGCUCACAGCUUUCAGUGGAUGUAAUUGUAGGCCAUGCAAUGAAUGAAAGGCAAUGGACAAAUGAUUUUUCAGCGGGGACUUGCUUGCCAUUCCCUCCCGAAAACCAGACCUAAUUAUAUGUAUAUAAAUAUGCUGCUAGAUACGUUCUGAAAAGAUGUUCUACAAUUGUGGCUGUUCCUUUCUAGUCAUAGAUUUUUACUCAAAAUUUUUUGUCCUUGUAACAGGCUCUUUGACUUGAGAGGAUCGGGGCCAUCAGGCAGCGUGGGACCCAUAUGCUGUCUCUCGAGAUGCUUAGAUUUGGCUGACGUGAACAUUUCGAAAUUAAUCACGUCCAUGUAUCCCAUAACCAAUUAAUAUUUUUGGACUCAGAUUCGAGAGUAAACGAAAAGCUUUUAAUUUGCGGUUUGACCGGUUCAAUUUCAGUUCAAAGAUUUAAGCAUUUUUUUAUUUUAGUGUCAAAAAAUUGAUAAAAUUGAAAUAUUUAUUUUAGAACAUAAAAUUUUAAUAAAAAUCAAUUAAACCUUCCAAUUUUUACUGGUCCAACUAAUUCUUGACCAAUUCAAUUGAUUCUCUGGAUUAAUCAUGGAAUCAGACCGAACGCAUGAUCAGUUCCUGAUUCAAUCGAUCGAACCGACUGAUUCAUCUGAUUUUCAGAACAUCGCCUAUAACUUGCUCAUUAGAUUAGUCAGUCAUGACACAAUUACUAGAAGACUUUGUUUAUGAAUUUCAAAACAUUAGUAUUUUCUAUUUUCCUUCCCCUUUUUUGUCGACUGUCCCUUUUGUGAUUGUCUCACAAGCAUAACAGCAAAGAACAAAGGAAUAAUACGCUCGGUAGCUCACUAUAAAAAAUUCCAAGUCGUUACAAUCAUCAAGUUUAAAUGCACCGAAAGUGCUUGUAUUACUCUGCUAGUCUAUUGUAACUAAGUGUACAGCCCGAUCUUGUUUAAAAUUAAAAUUAGUUUCUUAACUUGAUUUACAAGUCUAAUUUUAGUUAUAUAUAUUUUUUCUAAUUUUAAAUAAUCCACGUGUCACAAGCAGAUUAAAUAGUAAUUUAUUUUGUUGGUGGUAUGAAUAACACGAUCUCAAAGAAGAUACGUCAAAAAGAACGAAAAAAAAAAGGGGCUCAUAUCAUAUGGCACGUUCAGAUAAUUUAUUAUUACUAAAUGAGUAGUAGAUGGUGAGCUAGAUAAGUCGGGGUGGUUAAACAGGAAGCGCCAAUCUAAAUGUUUUUUUCCCAAAGCUUCUCAAUCAAGUUUGACAACCAAAAAGAGAGUGGGAAUCUCAGUCAAAAAAAGUCGAAAAGUUUUAUGGCAGUCAUCAUUGAGUAACUUUAUAGAAAGUUCUAUAAAUUGUCCAAUAGUUAAUCACAUCUUGCCAUCUAAAUAAUCAAUGGUUCUUGCCGUCAAAUUUUAAUUAAAUUCUACCCCUUAUGAAAAAGCUUAGUUCACACAAGCCCUACCCCUGUUGUGCAUUUUAAUCAAAUAGUUAAUAGACCCAAAAUUUUGUCAUUUUUUAUCUAUUAACAUUAACCCACGCUGAAAGCCAUUAUUAACGUAUACCCAAAUCCAAUACGAGAUUAAAUCAAUAUUAAAACAAAUAAUAGAUUAACUCAAGCGACAAUUUACUAACAUUCGUAAAAUCACGAGCCAAAUGUAUGCAUAGCUUUUGAUUAAUUGCUGCCUUCAUCUUCCAUGCAGUCCCUUCCAUUGUAGAUUACAUGCAUGGAGUAGAGAGCACUUUCCUUUUUUUCUUUUUUGGAAUUGAAACAGAUGGAGAAUUGUUUUUUUGCCCUUUUUCCCUUUUCUUUUCUUUGUGCUUUGUAAAAAAAAAAAAUUGUAAAAUACGAAAAUCUGAAAGAUUCUUAAUUAAUUGGAAUCAAGUAUUUCUUCUUGAAAUUAAGGACGUACACAAAAAGUCCCUAUCCGAGUUGGUUUUUGACCUCUAGCUAGUAAACUACCACUUCUUUCAAUGAGUUCAAACUAGGAAAAAGAAAGUAUCGUGGCUGCUGAAACAUUAAGUUUGUGCUUCAAAUCCACAGUGAAACAUUAGAGCAAGAUCGAAUGGUACAAAACAAAGUUAGUAAUAAUCAGAUGUAUAUAACAAUAAUGAAAAGUGGCAGACCCUUUAAUAAUAUAUUUGAAGCUUUUUACUAUUCAAUGACCGACUAAAUGUUUAGACUUGUCAACUAGUUGAUCAUUGAUCACGGUAAAGUUUGACAACAUGCAUUAGUCUUAAGUUUACAUGUGCAUAAUGUGAAAACUGAAAAUUCCAUUAACAUAAACUUAAUACUACUUCCUCCUUUUCAAGUCUUAGUGGGAAAUAUAUUUUAUAUACGUAUAUAUACACACACACACACACACACACACGGUUUAAAGUUUCAGUUUUAUGGAGUGUAUUUAACGGCCUUCAAAUGAAUUAAAAAGGGUUUUAGCUAAAUAUGUUUGAUGCUUGAUAACAUCCUUAAUUACAAGAUUACACGUUCGUUAAGAACGUCUCUCGGGUUUUUGCUUUGUUUAAUAGUUAGCCAAAAAUGUACACGACUAACAACACAUUGCCAUAUGAGAUGAACUAGAUUUAUAUAAGCAGAUCGAUCAGUGGACCUACUUAAGAACGAGUAAAAUUCCGCUUGCUGGUGAAGAAUCUUCGGUCAAGAUAGGUAAACAGGGGGGAGCUGAAAAUGGAAAAUGUCCAGUUUGGGUCCACGUAGCAUGAUGAUACUUUUCUUGUCCAGGUACCUCGUCCUCUCGCUGUUUUGCGGUACGACUAAACCAGGUCAACGCAGGUUGUCGCUGCAUGGGAAGAAAGGAAGAAAUACGGUAGAAUGGAACAAGUCCAUAAGACAUGCAGAUCCAGACAACCCAAAACCCUGUUUUAGUAAAACUUGAUACUGCUUCUCCCAUUGUUUUCCUUGCCUCUAUAUAUGAUACCCAAAUCCCAAUUCAUUUCUCAUCUCAUUAUUUAAUCCCGCUACAAUUACCAUUCUCUAGACCUAAGGUUUUCUUGGUCCACUUUCUCCUACGCCAAUUUUCUUGCAGGGCCUGUAACUUCACCUUAAUGCUAUUGGAACCCUUUUCAGACUAACAAAGUCUUUGAGAGCUUAAAAUCCUUCCAAAUACAUUCGCUUAUUGGUGGACGAGUCUUUUAUCAAACAAUGGCUCCUGGUUUAAGUCUUGCAGGUGAACUUGACAGGGACGAUGAGCAAUUAGAGAGCAGAUAUCAGAAAGGAGUUCAAUAUCUCUACGAAAAUAGUAAUGGCAUCAUGAGUAGAGUUCCGACAAAGUACAUAUUGCCUAUCCCAGAAAGGCCGAAUUCGAGGACAGAAGAUCAUUGCAAUGCAAGAAGCACAAAUCUCAACUUGCCUGUUAUCGAUUGUGCUGAGCUACAAGGGCCCGAUAGAUCCCAAGUUAUUCAAUCCUUGGCAAAAGCUUGCGAGGAAUACGGAUUUUUUCAGGUAGCUUUUGGGGUUUGACGUUGGUUUCAGAAAACUAUGGCGUAAACUUAACAGUACUAAUGUUUUUGGUUAACGAUGCAGUUGGUAAACCAUGGGAUAUCAAGAGAAAUCAUACAGAAUAUGAUCGAUGCAGCAAGAAGAUUUUUCGAGCUUUCUUUUGAUGAGAGAGCAAAGUACAUGUCUUCAGAUAUGUUUACACCAGUUCGAUAUGGCACAAGUUUCAACCAAAACAAAGAUAAAGUUUUCUGCUGGAGAGAUUUCUUAAAACUAAGCUGCACUCCCAUCUCAAAUUCUCUCGAAUAUUGGCCAUCUUCUCCUAUAGAUUUCAGGUAUGCGUUCUUUGAUAAGUUAAUUUUGUGAAAUUUGGUACUGCUAAUGAACUAAGCUAGUCCAAUAUUCAAUAAAUACAUUGUGUGUUUCAUCAGUGAAAAAGACCUAUGCACAGACCUUUUUCAUCAAGUGAAACUCCUAAUUCCCUGUCUUUGAUGAUGAUCAGAUUCUACUGUCAUAUAUACUAGAAGUACUAAACAAUUCUUAUGGUUUUCUGAUUGUAGGAAGGUAGCUCUUAACUACGCCAAUCAAACUAAAUCCUUGUACCUGAUGUUAAUGGGUGCAAUUCUUGAGAGCCUAGGGUUGUUGGAGGAACCAGUGGAAGAAGUGAAUGGCAAUCCAAUUCUGAAAGAAUUCGAAGAUGGAAGCCAACUCAUGGUGUUAAAUUGCUACCCUCCGUGUCCGGAACCUGACCUAACCCUUGGAAUGCCGGCUCAUUCUGAUUAUGGCUUGCUCACACUUCUUCUCCAAGACGAGGUUAAGGGACUUCAAAUAGAGCAUCAAGGAAACUGGCUCACAGUUGAACCCGUUCCAAACUCCUUUGUUGUUAAUGUUGGUGAUCAUUUGGAGGUCCGUUCAUCUUAAUUUUAACGUGAUCAAUUUUUUUUCCAAGUUACGUUACCGUACAGCUUGUGGAUUCAUUUGUAUGUCUGCAUUCCGCAAGAAAAAAAAAAUCCCUUUGAAUUAAGGGCAACAAAAGGAGGUCGCAAAGGGGUGAAGGAACCCCUUGGAGAUUUGAUCAAUUGACCUUUUUCCACUAAACUACAUAUAAUUAUACUUGUAGUUCUUCACAUGGGGAAAAAAGUGUAGCGUAUUAGCUAGCAAAGAUUUCUCUAAAUUCUAAGAAUGGAGAUAAUAUUAUUGAAUGAUAGUCCAGCAUUUUAAAGAAGAUCAGAAAGAAAAAGAAAAGGCAUACUCCUCGUAUUACUGGAAUACAUGAAGAAGUUGACAUGGCCUCUACACCUAAUUAAGCCUUUUAUUUACACAGGAAAACCUAAACCAAAACGCCAUUCAGCAAAAAUUGACCCGAAAUGCUUUUAGUUCAUAAGCAAUAUCUUCUUUGGGUUUGCUUUUAACAUUUUAGCAAUGAUUUCAUGUAUUUUACUCUCAAUUUCUUGCGAAUGAAGAUUAAAUCUUGGUCUGUUUUUCGUUUGAUUGGCAGAUAUUUAGCAACGGGAAAUACAAAAGCGUGCUGCAUAGGGUUCUUGUGAAUUCCUCGAACCAUCGAAUAUCUACUGCCUCAUUGCACAGUCUGCCUUUCGAUUGUGUGGUUCGACCAUCGCCUAAGCUCAUAGAUGAAACCAACCCCAGGCGUUAUAAGGAUACAGAUUUCGCUACAUUUCUUGAAUACAUCUCAUCCCGUGAACCCAAGACCAAAAAUUUCCUAGAAUCCAGGAAAUUGAUGUGAUACUCAGAACAAUUUCCAAUUCUCUCCAUCACUCCAAGAAAGAAAAACAGACUAAAGUUUUGAAUAUAGCGCUUGUUACGUAUUAUUCAUGUGCUCAAGAUGAGAAAUUUCUUUUAAUUCCCUUUUUGAAUUGUUUAAACAGCAACGUGCAUUGUUCUGAACUUUUCUUUGUGACCAAGGCAGGGGAAGAAAAUGAAGGAAACAUUUUCACGACUGAUAAAGUCACGGCACUAGCCAUAAACGCUCUUCAUUUUUAGUUUCGUGCACUUCCAAUCGUCACAUAACCGAUGACUUUUCCUUUUUUUUUUUUUUUUGUAAAACAAAUGACCAUUAAAUGAUUUUUUUUUUUUACUUUUUGGUGGAGGAAAUUACUCGAGAAGCCCCAAGUCCUCCAAAUUGACUUAGCUCCUCUCCAAUGGAUUCUCUCUCCAUUUUCACAAUCCACACCUGAAUGUAUAACAUGUGUCUUCAUUUAUUAAUAAAUGUUAGAAUUAAUCAAAUUUAAAAUGAUCAUAUCUCUUUCUAAUGAAUAAAAAUACAUGUCAUACAUUUAGGUUUGUAUUAUGAAAAAUGAAGAAAAAAUCCACUAGAGAGAAGCUAAAUCCCCUCGAAGUCUCAUGCCGAUCAGAAAGGAGGAAAAGGAUAUGUAUAUAAGUUUGAACUCAUGAACUAUCAAAUAACCUAGAUUAAGCAUUUGUGAACUUAAAUCAUUAUAAUCGGUAUAACUUGGACUAGCGUAUUUUAAUUGUGACUAAAUGCUAUAUAGGACUAAGUAUCACAUUAGGUGAGGCAGCUCCAAAACUUGUUCAGGACUAAGUGCCUCAUCAGAUUUAGUAUGAGUAGCGGAUAAUUUGGAUUACGAGAGGUUUUAAGAGUGCAAAGGUCAAGGUCUUGAAUAGGUGAACGAGAAUAAUUUGAAUUGAUCAUUUCAAACUUGUAAUUCAGCUCAAAAGUUAUUUGAAUCACCUCGUAAAUUGAAGGUGUGAUAGGUUAUUUGUGAAGCACAGAGCUAAUCGACUUACUUAUUGAUAAUAAAUAAUAAAUCGUUAAAAAGUGGAAUGCCUGUCUCUAACUAUUUCCUUUCACCAAAAUGAUAGAGUUUCGGUAUUCCUUUUCUUUUCUUUCUUUUUUUUUUUUUGCAAAAAUAAAAUUUCUAGAUACUUAUGUUGGCAUGGACUGCAUAUACAGCCUGUUGCUGAGAUUUGCUAAAUCCUAUAGUCAUGGUGAACAUCGUGCUUUCUAAAUCCUAUAGACAGGUUUAGCAUGAUCCAUUGCUUUUUCUUUUUGUUGUCGAUAUUUUCCUAGAUAGUAUUUUCAGCUAAAGCUAUUUUCAGGAUAGUGUAGGCAAGAAAAUUCAUGCACUUUCUCGAUGAUUGUCUCUCUCAAACACACGCGUUAAAUAGGGGUUAGCUUUCGUGGGGGAAAAUUAGGCUGCAUCUUAAAUUCGAAAAGAAUCCCUUUAUAGCGGAUCGAUUCAUUCGCUUGUUCAGGGCCACAACAUUUGACUACAGAGGUUUUAGGUCGCAAGUUUUUAUUAGUUCCAGAGUGGGCUUGCAGUCAUUCGACGGGUCUUCAGGCUCUGAUGUGGUUUCUGCUGAAGAAUCAAAGGUAUCUUUUAAUGGGAUGCUUCCAAGGAAUCAAUGUUCAGUGUUUUGAAUUUCUCAGUGGAUGUGUUUCUAGAACAUGAUUUUGAAGAAGCUAAGAUGGAAUAAUGGUAAAAAUAUCUUGUUGACAAGAUAAAAAUAAAUAAAUAUUCAAGAGUGUCUAGAAAAGAUAGUAGUACUCCCAGCCUAGAAGAAUAUGGUUAACGCGCGGAUACAUAUUUCACGAAUUAGCCUCAAGAAUUCUCAUAUUAUAGACGGUGAAAUCAAUUAACUCCUGCAUGUUGAAUAAAACCAAUAGAAAUUUCAGAUCCUUCUAGUUAGCACCAAACUCGCCUUUGAGACUACAUAUUUCAAGUCGUUAUCAAUGAUUUUUCUUUUAAUAAGUUCUAUCAUGCAUUUUCUACCGAUCAAACUUUAGCUUGCCGUGUUAUUUAUGUCGAGACAAACUAUGACGGGCCGGAUUGAACAUUUCUUUUCAAUGCUAGACUUUUGUUGCUAUCUAUGAAUGAAUUUGUUAAAGGUUGGUAAGAGGAUCAGCUGUUUCUUCAUCCUCUUCUGUCUCUCAACUGCUUCUUUAAUUUGCUUCUUGGGAUCGCAAGUUGGUAAUUCAGGCUGAUCCAGAUAUCAAAUUCAGAAGAGAGAGGGAUUCCGGAUGCGAUUAACUUUUGCGACGGGAUAUUGUUUCUGCAUGGUUCGAGCCUACCAGCAGAACCUGAUGUUGUUAAGCAUGUUUCAAGGAUGAAAAGUAGCAUCUAUAGUACCACGAUUGAAGAUCCAAUUGUUAGAUAGAAAUGUCUUUGCGGUCACCAUAUUGACCUUUGUGACUACGGACUACCAAAUAUGAACAAGAAAUGUAAUCCAACAGUGGUAAGCUAGCUGGGGUUUCAUUUCUCAAAGAAAAUUACUAAUCAGACAGACUAUAACACCAAAAUGGCAUGGUUCCUUGUCAGAGCACCAUACCGUCAUCUACGCAUGGAAACUUUUGAUUUUUGUCAGAAACUGGACCCAGUUUAAAGAUGUGAAACGGAACGACCAAAAUUAAAUGGAGAGCUUUAAGGGUUUGGUUGGCCUCUUCAAGUAGCAUUUUUCUACAUGAUGACUCUAAACAAUGGGGUCUAAAUUAAUAUAAUAUCACUCGUGACUUUCUGGAUGCAUUCAACUACAAGCAAAAGAAAAUCUAUUUCAGAGAUGUAAUCUAGUUACUUUUUGCUCGAUUAAAGUCUUAAAAUAUUGGAUAUACACUCAACAAAACGUAUUAUCUGAUCUUUUGGAGACUUGGUAAAUUGAUUAAUUGAUCUCCAUAUCUAUACAUUUUCCUCUUCAUGUUUUGCUACGAAAAACGCUCAUAGCGUCACGACUCGAGUCCAAAGGCUGGCUCAAGUAAUUUUUGAAUCAAAAUUCACUGACCCAAAAUAGUUAACCCAAAUUAUCUAAUAGCUCAAGGAUCCAAGUUCUUAUAUCUUUCCUUUCCUUAUUCCCACCACCGAUGUGGGAUGCCUCAUUCUCCCCAUCUUUAGGAUUUUGCAUCCUCGCAAAGGACGUCAGAAUUCAAAUUAUACGAGCUAAACUAUUCACUAGGUUCAAAUUAUACGGACUCUAGAGGUGACUCCCGUCCGACGUAACACUUAGUCUCACAGAUCCUAAAGGUAGCUCAUGUCAAACGUGGCAUUUAGCUCAUUGCACGGAACCAUAAUCCGCUAGUCCAAGCUCACCCUGUCGAGUGGAGCACUUAACUCCUUGCACUCCCUUGCAUGGUCAAAACCAUAACCCGCUAGCUCAAUCUUACCCCACGCAGGUGAGCACUCCCUCGCAUAGUCAGAAUCAUAACCUACUGGCACAAGCUUACCCCACGCAGGUGGUCCUCGUCGAACGUGGCACUUAGCUCCUUGCACUUCCUUGCAUAGUCAGAAUCGUAAUUCGCUGACCCCGUCGAAUGGGGUUAUCCGCUGGCCCAAGCUCACCCCGUCGAACCUUGCACUCCCUUGCAUAAUCAAAACCAUAAUCCGCUGGUCCAGAUUCACCCCAUGCAGGUGGUCCAAGAAUCGUUAGGGUUCAACUAUUAUGACCUGGAUCCGAGAGUUGGCCCAAGUAAUUUUUGGACCAAAAUCCACUAGUCCAAAAUAAUUAACUCAAUUUACCCAAUGACAGAAGGGGACACAAGUUCUUAUACUUUUCCUUUCCUUUUUUCCACCACCGAUGUGGGAUACUUGAGGUAGCAAGAGCUUUUGAUUAAGACUCAACUUGCCAAAAUUAUAAAAACAGUUAACAACCUUACCUAUUAUCAAAUAACCCUAAAGACAUCUGCCAGCAAAGCAGAUAUAUGCAUAGAGGAACCCCAAUCCAUAUUGAUGAAGAUCAAUACUGUUUAAAGUGUUUACGAAGCCAGGUUACCUCAUCUGUUUAGCCAUAGUAGACUCGCCUAGAGUGAAGAAUGAGAUUGUAUCCGAUACCAAAAACAGGAGGUAAAGUCACAUUCGAAACACCUUUGUCUACAACAAAAGCUGCACCAGGCAUCAUCAACCACUCCCCAGUCCCCAUUAAUGUAAUCUAUCCUGCUUGGUAGCCACAGAUCAAAUUGACCACCUUAACAUGUCCAAGAAGCUCAGAAAGGCACACACCCACUCACAGUUGCGCUUCAAUUCAUAUAACUUAGCAAAAUAGGACAAAGAAAGAAGAAAAAAAACAUUACGAAAUGUAUAAUAUCGAGUAUUCAUAGUAUUUGAAAAUUAUCUCCUCCCGGUGCCCUCUUUUUGAGUACCGAAAUAUAAUGUAAUCCAACAGUGAUAAGCUAGCAUUCAAUUUCACAUAAAAUUUAAUUAAGACAAAAUAUAACACUAACAUGGCAUGGUCUCAUGUUGCAAUAUCAUGUCGCAGCUUCAACCCAACGUGCAAACUUUGAUCUUUGCCAAAAACUGAACCAGCUCAAAGAUGUCAAAACCGAAUAAUCAUAAUGGACAAAUUUGGGGGCUUGAUAUCUGGGUGCAUGCAAUAUAGAUACAGAUGAUAACUCUUAAAAGAUUGGUUCAAUAUAUAGCAAAAUAUCACCCAUGAUCGAUAUUUGGGUACGUUCAGCUAAAAGCGAAAGAAAGUCAAUUUUAGAGAUGUAAACUAGUUGAUUGAACUCGAUUAAAUUCUUAGAAUGAUGGAUAUAUACUCAAUGAAAUAGAUUAUCUCAUUCUAUCCUUCGUCUUUUUGCUCUAGGAAAAGUUUUUUUCCCUCCCAUUUCCACAUGCUAUGCAAGAACAAUGAACAUCUUCUCCGCUGUCUAAUGCAAUUAUGCAACUUGCUGGCUCCGUAACACCUCCCCCCCCCCCUCUCUCUCCAAAAUUUUUUUCCGCCAUUAUCAAUAACAACACAGUUGGAUACAUAAAUUUGGCAACAUGGGUGGGGAACUCAAAAGGAUAUGGUGUCAAUGUAGGAGAUGAAGACACGAAAUAGGAUAUGGUUGGAGGCACCCAAUCGACUCUCCAACUAGUACAACAAGUUGUCCAAAAGGGAGGAGGAAGAAAUCUGUAAAUAGGGUCGUCCUCCAAGCAAUUCAGCACAAAGCAAAUCAAAGAGAGCAGCAGCACUGUUCAUAACUGCUGAACCCGCCAGCCAAAGUUCUCUAAACUCCAAUUGCGGUUAGCACCAAUGGCUUACAGUUAUCGUAACUUCCUCCUUCUCUUUGCAUUCCUCCUCGUUUCAACCACAACUCCAUAUCUCAUGGUCUCCUCUAUAACGGACAGAAUGUAGCUGCAAUUGUGGUGAAGGGCGUCUUGGGCUGCAACUCAACCGGAAACCCUACACCAGGCUGCCUACCCCUCGCAUCCGUACCUGUUACUUUUUCCUGGGUCUUCGUUGCCGGUUUUCCAUACUACAACUUUUCUGAUGGAUCCUUUAGUUUCCUUAUAGCUGAUUUAACAGCCGUAGCAGCCUUGCCCCAUGGAACUGUACUGGCAGAACUCACUGCGGCUGUUAACCUGAAUGCCGUGACCAAUUGUGCUGCUUUACCUUCCACAGGCUAUCUCAGGUCUCCAGUUAAUAAAAAUUCUGCAUCUACUAUCCAAGGAUCGGCCACAGGAAUUACGCUUGCUGUCGUUGUUUCAGGGUUUACUUAUUCAGCUGCUUGAUUCCUAAUGCAGCUGCUUCGGUGUUUCGUCUCUCUUGUUUAUCCAAGUUGAUGAUUUGUUUCGUUGUUUUUAUUUCAUUUUUUCUUUUGCUAUCAUCGCCAAUGUUGUGUUUUGUUACCAAUAUCUCGUUGUUUCCAUAUUGACUGAAGCGUGUAAUCGCGUUUUUAGUGAAAUCAAUAAAUUGCAAUUUCAUUAUGUAACUGGCUAGUUAGGUGAUUUUGUCAACAACAGAAUGAGUGUUUCCUUCCAUACGGAGGUCCUAUUCUGGUCAAGAUUUCAAUCAUAAAAACUGUUGGCGUACUGAAUAAACCAAUGUUUUUAAAAUCGGACCGUUAAUUGAACCGGUGAAGUGAAAGGGUCGAGAUUCAACCGGUUGGACCGGUUCAAUCUCGGUUCAAUGAAUUUUUAAAAAAAUAAUUUAUAUAAAUAUAUAUAUGCACAAAAUAAGACAUGUAAUGGAUAAUUUAAUACUUUAUAUGAUGAAAAGUUUACUAUUUUCGAAUAACUUGGAUUUUUAAAAAUAAUUUUUCUAAAUUAUAAGUUAAAAACAAAUAAAUUUUAUCUCAAUUUCAAUUAUAUCUACCAAAAAAAUCUUAAAUCCAAUCCAAAAAUAUCACAAUAUUUGAAAUUAUACAAAAUUCACGUCUAUGAGAAUUUAGACAUUGUGAACUUAAAUUUUAAUUUACGUUUUGAAAUUUAGAUAUUGCAAUUUAAAAAAGGAAGUUUGGAGUUCGAAGGAAAUCAAGAGAAUCGAAAAUAGAAAUACAAAUUUGAUGAGAAACUAAAAAUGAGAUAAAAGUGAGUGGUUGUGGCAUUAAAUAAAUUGGGUUAAAGAAAAAUAAUUCUUUUUUAACUUUUUUUAAUUUAAUGGACAAAAAUAAAAUUAAAAGAUGGAAGAAAACAUCAAUAAAUUAAAAAUAAAGAGAUUUGAUUAAAAAAUAAGUGGCAAAAGAAAAGAUGAGAGAGAGAGAGAGAAAGAGUUGAAGAUAAAAAAAAAAGAGCAAUGAGAGGAUGAGAUUUUAUAAGGAAAAUGAAACAAAAGAAAUAUGAAUGUUUGUUUUAUAUAAAUAAGUUAUAAAAAAAAACUAAUAAGAUGUGAUGGUACAACGGUUACUACAUUGAUCUUCUAUUACAAAGAUCUUGAGUUCAAAUCUUGAUAAUUGCAUUUUGCAAAAAAAAAAAAAAAAAAAAACUUGAAAAUCAGAAAUGACCGGUUCAAAUCCGGUUCGGCGGUUUCGCGAUCCAAUUGGUUUUUGACCGGUUUCUUGGCAAAGUCAACCCUGCAUUGAACCGGACCGGUGCCAUGGCCGGUUCGCGGUUCAACCGGUCGAACCGGCCGAUCCGGUCUGAUUUUCAAAACACUGGAAUAAAGACUGUGGAUGCAAAUGCAAUUCCACUAUUCCUUGUCAAGAUACUUAAAUAUUCCCCCAAAUAUCACAUCACAUCCUACCGAAAUGGGAACAAAAUAUAUAAAUAAAUAAAACCGUAUGGGAUAGCUUGAAAUCCUAAACAGUCGGUAUAUGCUCAAUACACUAGUACUAUUCCAAAGGAUUUAUGCACUUGAACCAGAUGAAUGUCCUCCUAGUAGACUUGUAUAGGCAGAUAAGGUACUACUUUUCCGGGGUUAUCUUGAGAAUGAUAGUAUAAAAGAACCAGAAAGGACUGAAUUCAUGCUAAGUGAUAUUAACAACGCUAUAAAACAGCCAAACGACUAUUCUUGUCAUGUGAAUCUCUAGUGACUGGUAGUUUAAGACUUUGCAUGCAUGCAUGUAUGCCCACACUGAUAACCAUCCAAGCACGUUUUCAAUGUAUGAAUGAGUUGUUCCGUUUAGUCUCCAUUUCCUGUAUAUACGACUUACCACGCUAGAAUCAGAAAAGGUGAAAGAAACACCUUAGUCGCUAAAAUGGCCAACUUCUUUCAUUUUGAAAAAUUAACUAACACGAAUUAAGCUUCCCUCUUUCUUGUUUCAUUUAGAAAAGUUGGUUUAAAUUGAAGUCCAUACAAGUAUAGGUAUAUAUCUUCGGACAUGUCGGCUACUCUAAGGUGAGGUAGAUGACAAUAUAAUGUCACUGGUUAAGCAGUGAAACGAAAACAAAAUAUUUGGUACUAAUUGCCGCAUUAACGGUUUCAGGUUGGGUACGUGUAAUAUUAACUAACAUGAAUCAAGUACGUUCUCUCUACAUCUUCACCUGAUAUGCACUCUAAACUACUCCAUCUAAAUAUGAAGACAGAUUUCCCGAAGAAGGAGUUGCAUCAAAAUAUCUACAAAAUUCCCCAAGAACUAUCCAGAAAAUUUUCAUUAAAUUUCGCAUAAAAAGUAACCAUUGUAGGUGAAGAACCAACUGUUCAGCUUUUACCUAGAACAAUACAUCAAUCCCCUAGGAAGAACUAAACACUCCUACUUAAUUUCUACACAGAUAUGCAAGAUUUACCCCUUGGCUUUGAUAACUGAUAAGCAUAAUGGAGAACCAAAACUCCCUGAAACGUUUAGGUAACUUGCGUGGUUCUGAAUUAGUUCAAUAAGUAUGUAAAUCGUGUGGAGAACUUUUGCAGAUACUGGAGCUACGUACGGCCACUACAAGGUAUGCAAAGAAAAGGAAUGAAGCAGAGAAUAAAGCUAUCAAAGUUUCUUUGAAGGCUAGUGCUGCUUUUUCUGCUUUAUUGGAAUGCUUGGGAUGCCACUCCACAUUUCAUAGUAUCCAAAGACAAGUUACAUUUGAAACUUACGCGGUAAUUUACCUGUCCAGCAUUAGAUAUCCGAUUACGAUAAUAGUGUAAAUAAAAGCAUGUUACAAGUUAAACAAUGAUAUGAAUUUUGCGGUACAACCAAAUGUUUAAAAAUACAGAAGUUAGUGUCAAUUGUUGUAUUAAGUGACAAGAUUACUCUCCAAAGCUAGUUUAAUAUACAUACAUACAUACAUACAUAUAUAUAUAUAUAUAUAUAUAUAUAUAUAUAUAUAUAUACAUACAUACAUAUAUGCAAGUUUUUAUAAAUUGAACAAGGUUUCUUCAAUCGUGUGCCCUCAGUGUACCAAAUAUAGGGAUGGGCACAAUAUAAAUAUCAGAUAUUAUUAUCCACCCUUGAAUUAAGAAAAUUUUAGUGAAGAAAUUUUAAACUUUUGUAGACAACUAAAUGUCAGCCUCACGUCUUAUCGGCUAAUUGCUUAGUUUAUAGGUAAAAAAAAAAAAAUUUCGCCAAAUACACCUCUGACAUGGACUUCUUCUUAUUCUAUAACGUGCCGUGUUGAGUCAGCACGGCACCAAAAUUAAAUUUCGCACAAAUCAAAAAAAUGUUAGUAUGUUCAGCCUUGUGUCGUCGGGACGUGCACAGUCAGCACGUCCGCACUGACACAAGGCGGACAAACACUGCUAUUGCAUCAGUCCGAGCCGUGCUGACUGUGCACGGCCUGGACUGUCCUCAUUUUUAUGUGGUCUUAUUUUUUACUCUCUCUCUCUCUGGGGAAGGAUAUAGCCAUCAAACAUGUUUCUUUGUUUCUUGACUUUCACUGUCCUCAUUUCAACUCUUUCAACAAAACAAAGAAGAUAGAGUAUUAAAAGAGUGCCCAGGAUAUUAAUGUAUUAUUAUUAAUGGGUCGCUUGGUGUAAGAUCAGAAGAAAAAUUUCUAUAAAUCUUUUGUUUGGGGUUAGGUGGCAAGUCCUUCAUCAAAUACGACAAUUCUUCAAGCUUCUUGUCAAUUUAGGCUUUUAUAUAUGCAUCUUAGAUAGCUCCAUUCUCAUUCCUACCAAAAAAAAGAAAAUCCUAAUUGUAGCUAGGCAGGCUUCCAAUUAUAGGUCUUCUCCCCGUAUCCUUUUUUUUUUUUUCUCAUUUCAUUUUUCUUCGAUAAUUACACACCAAAUCCCACAUGUAUAAAAGCCACAACACCUCAAAUUGGGAUUUCUGUUGUGUUGACGUAAUUAUGCCAGUCUUUGCUGCUUGUUCUUGCUUAUCAAGUUUGGACAAUUUACCAAAGUUUUGAACUUGAAGAAGGCUACUAAAUUAAGAUUAGGCUUACCUUGUUCAAAAAAGUCAAAAUCAGGUUUCAGUAAUUUGUUGUGUCUGUCUUAUCAAUCGUAAUUUAUAGUAAUUCGUUUAGAAUAGAAUUUUCCAAACAUAAAUGAAUGAUCUUUUGAGAAUCAAAAACUAAAUUAAGCCUUGUUUAUUAAAUAAAUGAUUGCUUGUUUUAUGCGUGCAAUAUGCUAAAGCAGACAAAAUAUUUUUUAUUUCCGAGUACAUUUGUUUUAUUUACGCAAUGCUGCCACGUUAAAUGUUGAGACUCAAACUUUUCCCCAGUUAUUCAGUGCUACUAGGGAAAAGCUCCAUUACCUAUUUCUCAAAAAUAAAUAUUUUCAGGCGUCAAACUUUGGCUAAUUGCUUAGUUUAUAGGUAAAAAAAAAAAAAAAAAAAAAAACAUCCGCCAUAUGCACCUCUGAAAUGUUUUAAAGUUGGGUUUUUAGAUUCUUAGGUUUUAGAGUUAGGGUUUUUGCGUUAAUGGUUUAGAGUUUAGGUUUUUGAUGUACAAUAUAAUUGAAUAUAAGUUAUGAAUUGCGUGAUUUUAUGUGUUCCUUUCAAGACAUGCGAAAUAGUAUUGCUGAUAGCUUGUACCACAUGCAUUAAAUGUUGUCCCCUAGUGGUUGUUUAUCUAAAACUCCAUCAAAUAAAUACAUUUUAUUUAAGUCAGAAAUUUUAAAUUCAGAAUCUCCUAUAUAUAAUUUAUUCUACCCAAUCCUCUCUCUCGACUAAAUACUUGAUUAAUUAACCUUUAGAAAAUGGACACGAUUUUUGUUAGCGUCGGAAAAGGGGCAGUAGAACAGAAAAUUUGAUCUACGUAAUAGAGUCGUUAAGAUGUGCAAUUUAAUACUGCAAAUCGUUUUUGGAGGUAAGACAGACUCUCACGUUCGCAAAAAUGCUGGUAGCUGUAAUUGUAUCAACUCAGCCGAACUCAGCUUCUAUAUAUUGUUACCGCAGUCGUAUGAAAAUCUUCAAACUACACGAGAACUUCUAUCAUAUCAAGUAACGACCACAAACAAUGGCUAAAUAAAGAAUGAGCCUGAAAUUAACUACCAGGUAACAAGCAAAAACUAUGGCUAUUGGCUAAAUAAAGAACGAGCCUAAAAUUAUACUCACAUGAAUACCCACAAUAUUGAUUCGCUAAUCAACAAUUGAGACCGCUUGAGGGCACCUACCAACCGGCUUCAAAUCCAUGUCAAGUUCUCGCCAGUUAUCUGAUAGUGGAAUUCAGCAGCAAGUUUGAUGUUCAAUCUAACAGGUCGACGAUCAAACAAGGCCUUGUUUUAUUCCAGACCACCCAGCAAGCGGGGCCAAUUUUGAAAAAAGAUAGUGGUAAGAUAUUGAUCAGCUUCCAAUUAACAGAAGCCGAUCAGUCCCUCUGUUUUAUCUUGUUUGCUGUAUCACCACACUAAUAAUAACCUUUCGCUGAUUUGGAAGUUCAAAGGGAGAAGAGAAGCGGCGAGCAGAGAUUUUACGAAUUUUUUUGGGAUUUUAGAGAGGAAAUGAAAUCAUCUACACACAGAUAAACAACUAAAUUUUACUUUUAGUAGCUUAUUAAGGACAAGAGCGGCAUUUUAAAAACUUUACAAAACCUUCCUCUCUUGACACGUAGAGGAGUUACUUUCCAUCCCUCUCUUCUUCGCAUAUCCACAAUUGCCAAACCAAAGCUUAACUCCUUCCUUGUAAGAUUGUGCUUGGAUGAGCACUGAUAACGCCAAGAUUUAUCUUAAAAUAAAAUGGGCUUGGCUUCUAAAACCAAAAGUUGUUUGGCGGGAUGCUGUCUCCUGCAGCCGUGAUGGAUAACUUCCUUCGACCCUAAUGAAUUCAAGCAUUUGUUUUCCUUUACGAGAACCGCAAGUCCUACAACUAGAGGGCUCUUACUUUAUAAAGAGCAAUUUCAUUACUUCAGACACCAUAUCAAAUCUGAUAUCAGCUUUGAAAAAAUGGAAGAUCAAGCAAGCUGCUAAUUGACUGAUGAACUCCUUUAAGUUAAUUUUGCUCGCAAAGCUGGGAAAAUUCUGCCCGCUUUACAGAAAGUCAAAGACAGUUGCACACCAGCCAUCAGCUUCUAUCUGAUGACAACCAAAAGUUGUAGUAGAUAUGCUAUGCGGUCACAGGCAAACAGGACGGAGAAAAACAUAUAAAAGAAUAUAUCUUAUUUACGAAUGAAUGAAGUAGAAGAAGAUGCCAUUUGUCAUUCCAACUAUACAAUGCUGAGCAUUCCACAAAUAAUCAGAAGGGCGGUGCAAACUACAACACAGAUAACAACCUGUAGAGCUCCGCAAAGGCAGCAGGCCGAUAAAUGGCUCCCUCAAACUGUUAUAACUCGGAACAAUUAAUUCCUAUUAUAUUUUUUACAGUAUAGAGUAAGCUCGGAUCACCUCAACAAUAGGUGCCCGGCAUA